AAUCCCUAAAUCACCUCAAAGAGGGAUCUAACAAAUGAAUGAGCAAGGUUCAGACUUUAUUCCUUCCAAAGACUGCAAAUGAUGAACCAAACUCGAAUCCUUCAGUCCCCUCUUGAUCCUUUUAUGCUCUUCCUUCUUCCUUGAGGUCAAAACUCACAAGAAUCACUCAAAAAGCUUUAGAUCUUCCCAAAAACGGCUAGGGUUUGAUAUGAGGGGUUUCUGGAAGCAUAAAGGGGCGAUGGGGGGUGCAUAAGGUUGCUUAAAUAGGGUGCAAACCCUCAGAUUAGGGUUUUUUCCAGACAGAGGCUACUCGCCGAGUCCGGACNNNNNNNNNNNNNNNNNUUAAAUCCCGUGCCCUUUCCCGCUCCUACUCGGCGAGUCGAGCCUUUAACUCGCCGAUUCCAAGGCCAAAAUUCAAGAUACUUAAAGGUUUAAAUAAAAGAAUACGUACCAAGAACCAGUUGCUACAAAUCUCCCGCACUUAUUUUAGACUUCGUCUUCGAAGUCUGUUGCUCGCUCCUGAAACAGCUCGGGGUAAUGUUCCAUCAUCUCAUCCAUUGGCUCCCAAGUCCACUCCGAUCCCUUCCGGUGCUUCCAUUGCACCUUCAUGAGUUCCACUCUCUUGUUCCUUAGAUCCUUCGAAUUUCGGUUGAGGAUCGCUACAGGACGCUCGAUGUAAUUCAGGCUGUCAUCAACCUGAAUGUCCUCCAAAGGCACCACUGCAGUGUCGUCCACCAGGCACUUCCGCAGUUGUGAAACAUGGAAAAUGAUGUGUAUUUGACUGAGCUCUGCUGGCAAAUCCAACCUAUACGUCACCUUGCCCACCCGGGCUAAUACCCUGAACGGUCUAAUGUAUCUGGGGCCUAACUUGCCCCGCUUCCUGAAUCGGAUGACACCUUUCCAAGGUGACACCUUCAGGAGAACCAUAUCCCCGACCUGAAACUCCAGGUCUAAUCGACGCUUGUCCGCAUAACUUUUCUGCCGACUCUGAGCAGUCUGAAGCCUGCUACGGACCUGCUGAAUCCUCUCGGUCGUCUUGAGCACUACCUCGGUGCUCCCCAUGACCCUCUGGCCACCCUCCCCCCAACAUAUCGGGGUCCUGCACCUCCUCCCAUACAACAUCUCGAAUGGAGGACGGUCGAUGCUCGCAUGAUAGCUAUUAUUAUACAAGAACUCUUCCAACGGGAGGUAGGUAUCCCAGCUACCUCCGAAGUCUAAAACACAUGCCCGCAACAUAUCUUCCAGAGUUUGGAUGAUCUGCUCGCUCUGGCCAUCCAUCUGUGGGUGAAAGGCAGUACUAAAAUGCAGACGAGUACCCAGCUCGUCAUGAAACUUCUUCCAAAACCUGGAAGUGAACCGCACAUCCCUAUCCGAAAUCACUGAAACUGGCACUCCGUGCCGCGCCACCACCUCUCUGAUGUAGAUAUCAGCCAAUUUCUCGGCCGAGAUGCUCUCCUGAAUCGGGAUAAAGUGGGCGCUCUUGGUCAAUCGAUCGAUGAUGACCCAAAUCGAAUCCACUCCCGCGCGGUCCUGGGAAGCUUCGUGAUAAAAUCUAUCGUGAUGUCUUCCCAUUUUAACAAUGGGAUAUCCAAUGGCUGCAUCUUGACGUGUGGUCUCUGAUGCUCGGCCUUGACCUUCCUGCAGGUCAAGCACCGCUCCACGUACCACGCCAUAUCCCGCUUCAUGCAGGGCCACUAAUAGUCCAGACGAAGAUCCCUAAACAUCUUCGUCGCCCCGGGAUGAAUGGAGAACCGGGAUUUAUGCGCCUCCUCCAUCAGGACCUGGCGCACGCCUCCAUGAUAAGGGACCCACACCUUACGGUGAAGAGUCAAUAACCCUCGGCUAUCAUAGUCGAAAGAGGAAACCUGCCCCACAAUCCGCUCACUCUUCCGAUGUUUCUCCUUCAUUGCCUCCUGCUGAGCCUCCCGAAUCCGCUCCAGCAGCGGAGUGACCACUGUCAUCCUUAGGCAAAUAUCUCGGAUCACCGUUGCCUUGCGGCUAAGCGCGUCAGCCACCCACAUUGGCUUUCCCCGGAUGGUAAAGGAUCUCACAAUCAUAAUCUUUUACNUGGUCCAUGAGAUACCUCAAACUCUUGUGGUCCGUGUAAAUCGUACAUCGAACCCCAUAGAGGUAAUGAUGCCAAAUCUUGAGGGCGAAAACAACAACCCCCAACUCCAAAUCAUGCGUCGGGUAGUUCGCCUCGUGAGGCUUCAGCUACCUCGACGCAUAGGCGAUGACAUGCCCUCUAUGCAUCAAUACCGCUCCCAAACCUGUGAUGGAUGCAUCGCAGUACACAACAAAAUCCUCCAUGCCCUCUGGCAAGGCUAAGAUUGGCACCUCGCACAAUCUAUGUCUCAGCGUCUCGAAUGUGGCCUGCUGCUCAGGCCCCCAUCGAUACACCACCGACUUCUUAGUCAGUCGGGUGAGCGGAACUGCUAUCUUGGAGAAGUCCUAAAAGAAUCUCCGAUAGUAUCCUGCCAAUCCUAGAAAGCUCCGAAUCUCAGAUGGAGACCUCGGAACCUCCCAACUCAUCAUGGCCUCCACUUUGGCCGGAUCUACCGAAAUCCCGUUCUGGUUGACAAGGUGCCCAAGAAACUGCACCUCGCGCAACCAGAACUCACACUUGGAGAACUUAGCAUACAAGUUCUCCCUCCUCAAAGUCUCCAGAACCUCCCGCAGAUGCUCCUCAUGCUGCUCUCGCGUCUUGGAGUAAACCAAGAUAUCAUCGAUAAACACUAUCACAGACCGGUCUAACAUCGGUCUACAUACGCGGUUCAUGAGGUCCAUGAACGUAGCAGGAGCAUUGGUGAGCCCAAACGCCAUCACUACGAACUCAUAAUGGCCAUAGCGUGUCCGAAACACGGUCUUCUGCACAUCUUCCUCUCCGACCCUCAUCUGAUGAUAACUUGAACACAAAUCAAUCUUGGAGAACCAAGAUGCUCCGUGUAAUUGGUCAAAGAGAUCAUCAAUCCUCGGGAGUGGGUAACGGUUCUUCACUGUUACCUUGUUCAGCUCCCGAUAAUCUAUACACAUCCGAUGCGACCCGUCCUUCUUUCUCACAAACAGAAUCGGGGCUCCCCAGGGUGAACUGCUCGGUCUAAUUAAACCCUUGUCCAACAGCUCCUACAACUUUGUAGAGAACUCCUGCAUCUCAGUAGGAGCCAACCGAUAUGGUGCUUUGGCUAUCGGAGCCGCACCAGGGACUAGGUCGAUCCUGAAGUCCACCUGUCGCUCCGGAGGUAUCCCAGGUAACUCUUCAGGGAAUACGUCCGCAAACUCUCGUACCACAGGUACAUCGUCCACCGUCACCCUACCCGUCUCCCGGGUAUCCAUAACAUAUGCGACAUAACUUGCGCAACCAUGUUGGAGGUAACGCCUAGCUCUCGCUCCUGAACAUAAAGCUGGUCCUCGCUGUGGCCUCUCGCCCUGAAUCACCAGCUCUCCCCCACUUGGGUCCUGACCCGCACCAACUGCUGCGCGCAGUCGAUCACUACCCCCAUUAGGGCUGAGCCAAUCCAUGCCUAUAAUCACCUUGUUCCCACGCAAUGGAAUGGGAACCAAGUCUACCAAGUAGCGCUCCUCAAAUAACCUCAACACACAAUCUCGGAAGACCUCAGAUGCUCGCACUGACCGGUCGUCCGCAAUCUCGACCUCUAGAGAGCAAUCCAACAUACCCGAAGACUCAGAAAACUUCUUGCUAAGCGCAAGAGAAAAAAAAUGAUCGGGUAGCACCCGAAUCAAAAAAUACCUGAACUGGGAUACCGUUCACAUGGAACGAUCCUAAACAAAGCACAUAUCAAUAUCAUAAACAUCAUAUACAUAAAUCAGAGGGAAAGAAUCAUACCAGUCACCACAUCAGGUGCAGCACGUGCCUCAUUGGCUGUCAGCUGAAAUGCUAGGCUCCGCACCACUGGAGCCUCUGUCUUGACCUUCCGGCCAUCUGUAACCCGUGCCGCCCCUGAGGCCGGCGCCGCUGCUGGCACUGCUGCUGACGUUGCUGACAAUCUCGGGCAAUUGGCCUUUUUUGGACCCUCUGAUUGCAAUGGAAGCAAAUCAGGUCUGUCAUCUGUACCGCAGGGACGGGGGCAGUACAAUCCCUACCAAAAUGCCCCACCUUGCCACACUUAUAACAGCCCGAACCUGGCCCAGUGCGAUAAGCUCCCUCGUGUGACUGACCGCAUUUCCCACAGCGGUCCCGUCCUGCCUGGCCUUUCGGCCUACCAUCAGAUCCCUUGGGCUUCUUCCCCGAAGCCCCGGUCGUCAGCCCCUCCACUGCCUUCCUCUUCUAGACGUGCUCCAGAUCAAUCUCCCUCUCCCUAGCCCUGGCAAUCAUGGAAUCCAAGGUAGGACAAGCUGAAAAACUAACAUGCUCCCGAAUGUCAGCUCAUAGCAUGUCAUGGUAGCAGGUCCUCCUCAUAUCCUCAUCACCCGCAUACUAGGGUACCAGCAAUGCCCUCUCUCGAAACUUGGCGGUGAUCUCCGCCACAGUCUCCGUAGUCUGCCUCAUAUCCAAAAACUCCCUGGCUAGCCGCUGAAGCUCCACAGCUGGCACAAACUCCGCCCUGAAUCUGGUCACAAAGUCUGACCAAGUCAUAGUCUCAACAGCUGAGGCUCCCAAUGAGUCACCAACAGACUCUAGGGUACCAGCAAUGCCCUCUCUCGAAACUUGGCGGUGAUCUCCGCCACAGUCUCCGUAGUCUGCCUCAUAUCCAAAAACUCCCUGGCUAGCCGCUGAAGCUCCACAGCUGGCACAAACUCCGCCCUGAAUCUGGUCACAAAGUCUGACCAAGUCAUAGUCUCAACAGCUGAGGCUCCCAAUGAGUCACCAACAGACUCUCACCAAUCCCUAGCCCUGUCUCGCAAGCAUCAUGCUGCAUAUCUCACCUUCGACCCCUCUGGCCAGAAGCUCGUCAGCUGCGCAGACUCAAUGUCUGCGAUCCAUCUCCAAGAAGCAAUGGGGUCCUUCACACCAUGGAAAUCUGGCACACCACUUCCACAAAAGUCCUUAAAGGACAGUGUGCGCGUACCCACCUGGCCAGAUGCCAUAUCACUCCUGAAUGACCGGAGAUGAUCCUCCAUCAGCUCAAUAAUCCCCUCCUUGAUCGACCCGAAGAUGAUAGGGUUCGAGUCAAGGAUGCCUCUCGUGAUCUCAGACACGAUGAACUCGCGCAGCCCGUCAUCAACCUGCUCGGAUCCCGCACCCGAGCCUGAUCCCGAUCCUGAUUCGGAGCCCGCUGUCCCAUGACAUGUGGUCGCCAUGCUGAAACUACACACAUAAAUGUCAGGAUCAUACAUAUACUCGAGAGAUCUAACACACUCUCCAAGGUCUCUGGUUCCAUCUAGGCCCUCCUUGGUUCGAGUACAGGUCCUCUGCUUUCAGUAGUACGAGCCCAUACUACCUUCCACAUCUACCUGUACCUUCCUCAAGGAUUGCUUCGACUUCACCAAGUCCCUUUUACCGAUACCCUUUCCACUGACCCCAUCCUAGGCUUCCCUAGGGCACUCUCCGACCUACCCUCCGCCAUCAGCUGCACCAGGAGCCCCUACCAUUUCCCCCUAACUAACUUGCAGGUACUGUUACAUAUCCGCUCCUUAGUUAGCUGGAAAUAGCCAGAACCCCCAUAGCGCAAAGCAAGCAGCAUUCGUGCAUCGAGUAACCAAAUCAGACAUAACCUAUAUAGGCCAUCCUACUGCUGACUAAACAGUCCUAGCAUACAGCUCAUACAACAGGCAUAUAAGGCAUCCCCCUAGAUCCUUAUCCCUAACUAGCAUGCAAUCAUCAGAAUCAUAUAUCAAGCACACAAGGCAUCUUCCUAGAUCCUUAGUCCUAUUCUAGCAUGAAAUUCUGAAUCAAAGCCAUAUAGCAUAACAUAACAUGUAUGGGUAUCUUGGAAAAACUUACUUGAGCCUAGCCGGUCGCAUGCAUCACACACCUUGUCUUUCUUAAAAUCCUUCCGUUUUGAUUUUUAGAAAACCAUUUUAUUAUAAAAAUCUUUUAGCCCCCUUAGUUUGAGUCCAGACACCCCGAGGGCGUGUCCGAAUCCCUUAAACCAAGGCUCUGAUACCAACUUGUAACAUCCCAAAAUUCAAGCCCGAAAAUUUCAUUUUUGAUUAAUUAAUUCAUAAAACAUUCAUUAGAAAAUAUUGUAAAAACACGUCAUCUCAAAACCAAGUGUCAUAUUUGAAACCCACAACAUAAACAAAUGUCAUAUCAGAGUACAAUCCCAGAAAACACCGUGCGGAAAAUCAUAUGUGUGUGUGAUGACACGCUACGCCGUUGGCUCCUUCCCCUUAGAUGAAGAGGUACCUGAAACCAGAAACUGAAACCGUAAGCACAAAGCUUAGUGAGUUCCCCCAUCAUACCACAUACCAUACAGUGCUAUCGGUAUCUUUCAACUGGUAAUCGUCAUCGGUAUCUUUCAACCGGUAAUCAUCAUCGGUAUCUUUCAACCGGUAACUGGGGACUAUUCCACCCCCAUACAAUAACAAUAUAUAUUCAUACAGUCAGGCAUAUCAGGGUACUGACCUACCCCUCGGUCCUAAGGACCACUAUCAGGGAAACUAUCCCUAUCAUGCACGUAACAUAUCAUACAAAUGUAACUCAUAACCAAACACUUAACCAGACCAAGAUAAUUAUCACAAAGACAAUCAUCUUCUAAAUACUCCUCAUUGGUGGGUCGGCAUUGUGGCCUUAGACCCAUCCCUACGGGAAGGUAACUCACUUCAUACAAGUAGCUACUGAUAAUCAGUGCGUUAAUCCUCUGUCCGCUGCUGCUCCGGAAAUCCUCCGGCUACAAACCCCACAACACUUAGUUAGAAACUAAUCUCUAUACUUAGGGUAAAAUGAACAUUUUACCCCCAACCAAGUCAAGUCAAAGUCAAAGUCAACUUCCAGUUGACCCGACUCACCGAGUUGGGCCAUCAACUCGCCGAGUCCCUCACUCUCUACUCGUCCUCAUCCGUGACCCUACUCGUCGAGUUGGGUCGUCAACUUGACGAGUUCUUCUCUCAUUCGAACGCCCCAUGAAAACUCAUCCGACUCGCCGAGUUGAUGAACAACUCAUCGAGUUGGCCUUCAUCUGAUGAACAAGAUUUGUCCUCGACUCGCCGAGUUGAUGAACAACUCGUCGAUUCUUUGAAGAUUGCCUUGGACUCGUCGAGUCCAUUCAUGCACUCGUCGAGUCCCAUGAACUUCCAGCACAAUGGCUUAGUCCAGAACGUUAGGUCACUCCCUGGGACCCUCUUAAAACCUGUCCACACUCAACUGGGUUCUUUUGACCCUCAACAGAAAGAGGCAAAACCCUUAGACUCGCCGAUUCCAAGGAUGGACUCGCCGAGUUGGUCACAUCCCUUCACUAAAACUUCGAUUUCAGAUGAACAAUACUUGACCAAAUGAUAGAUCCCAAACCCUGGACUUGAUCUAGCACAUAAAGUUACAAACUUUACGUGCAUGCAUGGGACAUUAGAGCUUAAAAGGCUCUAAAAAUGGUUCUUUUGUUGCAUGGGGCCUUCCUUGGGUGCAAAAGCAACCAAGAUCUGUCUUGGAACUCUUAUAAUGAAAUGAUACAGAAGCCCAAACCCCCAACCAUGUUUGCAAACAUGGUUGGACACCAAAAAUGGCUUAUAAAAGCCCUAAAUCACCUCAAAGAGGGAUCUAACAAAUGAAUGAGCAAGUUUCAAACUUUAUACCUUCCAAAGACUGCAAAUGAAGAACCAAACUCGAAUCCUUCAGUCCCCUCUUGAUCCUUCUAUGCUCUUCCUUCUUCCUUGAGGUCAAAACUCACAAGAAUCACUCAAAAAGCCUUAGAUCUUCCCAAAAACGGCUAGGGUUUGAUAUGAGGGGUUUCUGGAAGCAUAAAGGGGCGAUGGGGGGUGCAUAAGGUUGCUUAAAUAGGGUGCAAACCCUCAGAUUAGGGUUUUUGUCCAGACAAAGGCUACUCGCCGAGUCCGGGACCCGACUCGGUGAGUCCGCGACUUAAACCCCGUGCCCCUUCCCGCUCCUACUCGGUGAGUCGAGCCUUUGACUCGCCGAGUCCAAGGCCAAAAUGCAAGAUACUCAAAGGUUUAAAUAAAAGAAUACGUACCAAGAACUAGGUGCUACACAUAUUGUCCCUAAAAUAAAAAAGAAGCCAUCAGUGAAUCUUAAUAUUGUCGAUGAUAGUGACAAUAACUCAGAUUAAAGAAAAAAAACCUGAUAUUAGAGAUGAAGUGGAGGGAGAUGAUUAGCUUAGGUGCAGAUUUAUUGGUUAUAGUUUCUUUAUAUUUAAUAUUUUGUGUUUGGGGGGGGGGGGGGGGGGGGUUAUGUGGUUCAUUUUGAAGGAAUAUAAAUAAGUUGUUAUUUUUUUUGAAAUAAACUGUUAUAUUUCGCAAUAUAGCCAUAAAAUAACAAUGUAUUUUGAAAGUACAUUGUCAAAUGUUGGAUUAUACUUGUGUAGACCCAUUUUCACGCGUAGUUGGCUAUAUAUAAUUGUUUUACGUGUCACAAGUAAAAAAUGUUUGAAGGUACUUAUAUGUGACAAGCAAAGUCAUUGAACUAAUAAAACAAAAAAUAUUGUCUAUAAAGAGGUCAUUCAACACUAUAUAUAUUUACCUAUUUUAAUGUAAUUUCUACACAUUUCAAUGAUAACAAUAUCUCUGCUUUUUUAUAAUUAUUCUGUAAUAUCUAUAUUAGUUUGUAUUUUAUUUAUGUGUUCCCCGCGUUUAACGCGAGUCAUAAUCUAGUUCUCUCUAAUCAUUGAAGGUUUUUUUUUACUAUUUGUCACACUCUCAUUCAAUUUGUCAAUUUUCAUUUUGAAUUGAUUUUUUUUCCACAUGUUAUUUUAUGUUUUUUCGAUUUUAUUAAAUUUAACAUAAUAUUUUAAUGUAAUAAUUGCAAUAAAUGUAGUAAUAAAUGGAUAUCAAUUUCAUUAAUAAACUUACCUUUUAAUUUCAAAUUUUUUAAAAUUAAAGCUCAUUAGUUUCUUUUCUUUAUUUAAAUUAUUUGUUUAAAUUUAAAAGAUAAAAACAUUUACAUUAUAAUAAUUCAUUAUUUUUCUUAUUUUCUUAUAAAUUCAAAGCUCUUAAAUAAAUUGACAUUUAUAUUUAACUUUUUCUUUUCUUAAAUUGACUCAUGUAAUACAUAAGUCUUACAACUAGUACAUUAAACUCAUAUAAGUUCAAUUCAUUGACACAUAUACAUUUCAUUCAUUAUAUAUGUGUAAGGAGAGAGAGUAUAGAGUUCAAUGGGGAUUGAACUCCCUAUUCUAUUGAAUAACAUGUCAUUAACCCAAAAUGAGGAUUUUAAGUUUAAUAGGAUUCAACUCUCCAUUCAACUUCCAUUGGAGACGAACUUAUGACGCCUAAUUGCUUGACGGUAGAAUAUUCAAUUUCUAUCUUUUGAGAUGGCUAAAGAUAUGAUUUGUUAGAUGGAUGAUUUAUAGUUUACUAAGAAGAAAAAGAAAAUUUUGUUGCGGUUGUUUUUAUGGUUGAAUGUCCAAUUUGGUCUUUUCAAAAUAAGAAGCAACUUUUCACUCUAUCGUGCCUCAAUCAUAUAAUUUUCUUUUGUAGUUUUCUAAAAAAAAUGUUGAUUAAAUAAGUUGGUUAAGAGAUCUAAAUGUUUGUCUUUCACUAACCUUUUGUUACCUUUUGAAUAAACUUUGUAGUUAAAACAAUGGAUUGUAAUCAAGAUAAAAGUUUAUAUAUAAACACAACCCAUCAUAUAAUUGAAAAAGAAAAAAAAAAAAAAAAAAACCCACAUAUCUAGACUUUAUUGUUAACCAACAUCAUACCUUAUCAUUUAAUUCUAUUUAUUUUUAUAUGAACUUUGAAAAGAGUUAUUUAAUUACUAGUUAAAAGUUUGAGCAACCGAUGUUUCUCAACGUGAAUUUCUAUAUUUAUAAAACAUAAAUCGAUAGAUAUAAGAAAAAAUUAAACGUAAAAAAGCAUGUUUUAAUAUCCAUUUUGAUUAUUCGAUCGAUACGUUGCCAUACAAUGUGCGAGAUAAUCGGCCCAUUCCCGAGCAUUAUACAGGAUAAUAAAACACACACGUCAUUUGGUGUAUAAAAAUAAAAUAUAGGACCACUUAUCUUCUACUUUACGUGAUAACGGUCUUAAUGGAUCAAAAGAGAUUAAGGUCCAGAUGUGUACUUUUUAGUAGGGGUCAGAAAAAACCGCAUCGCAACUAAAAUUAACCGCAUAAACCGCAACCGUAAUAAAAAUCGAUGGUGUGGUUUUCUGUUUUUCAAAAACCGCAAAUUUACGGUGUGGUGCGGUUAUCAGUUUUCAAAAACCACAAAAAAACGGCACCGCACCGCAUAUAUUACAUACAAUUUUUUUUAUUAAUUGUUACUAUAUUAAAUAUAUUAAAAAUAAGACAAGUUUAUGGAUGAAAGAUAGAUAAAAUGCUAGAAGACAAAAGUGUUGGUUUUUUGCUAUGUUUAACUUUGAAAAAUGGUGAAAUUAAACAAUUUUAAGAUAUUUAUUGUUUUCUUUUGAAAGAAUUAAGAUAUUUAUUGUUAAUUACUAUUGAUUUGACGUUUUUAAGAUAUUAGUUGGUUAUGAUUUAAGUUGAUUGUCUUAUAUCUUAUGUUUUUUUAUCAUUAAAAGUAAUAUGUUUGAAUUCUUGAAAUCGUUUGAGUUCUAAACUGUGGUUAAAAACCAAACAAAAUAACCGCACCAAAUCCAUGUAGUUAAUAACCGCAACACAAAAAAAAUAAAACCACACCGCAAAAAUAACCGUCUAACCAUACCGCACAAAAAACCGCACCAAACGGUUUUGAAAAUGGAUUAACCGCAUUUGCAGUUAGUGGUGAGGUUUUGGCUAAUAACCGCACCGCGCUCACCCCUAAUUUUUAGUAUUUAAUAUAAUUUAAAAUGUUAAGUAUAUCUUAGUGUUUUUUUUAUAACUAAUGUACUGUAAUAAAUAUGAAGGAUAUAUACACUAAAGUCUUAAUAUUUUUAACGAUUUGACAAGAAAGUUCUAAACUUUGUUUUUUUGACAGUAAAGUCCUAACUAUCAUAGUUUUUGACACACAUAUACUUUUUUGCCGGUUAGGAUUUUUUUAUUAAAUAGUUGAAAAUAUUGAGACUUUAGUGUAUAGUCUUGGUUUCCCUAGAAAAAAAUAUUUUUAUCAGUCUCGUGAAACUCAAUUCGUAUCCCAAAAACUUUUAAUUGUGAUUUUCAUUACAACAUCACUGUUUUUCUUACCAUCAUCAUUUUUAUUCUACUACAAUGACAAUUAGGAAAACAGAUGCAAAAGAGAGAGCAAGAGAAGGUGAGAAGGCUUGUAAAACUUUUUUCUUGGUUAGCCGCCAAAUUUUAAACUGAAAAUAGAGGAUAGAUUGUACAAACACAAGCACUACAUGCUUAGUCAAAAAUGUGUAAAUGUGGAGAAAGGUAAGAAUGACAGUUUCGUCUUUUUUGAUUUCUUAAUUUUCCAUUUUUAGAAUUGCAAAAAGCCAACACAACCCUGGUUCUUUCUUUCUUUCUUGAUUAUCUUCAUUUUUUUCAAUGUCGAUUUGUUGGGAUUUAAAAAAAACUAUUUAACAAAAAACAAAUAUUAAAUAUUUCAAUAGGAUCUAGCUGAUAAGAGCAAGUUCCAAUAACUCUUAUACUUAAAGAAUAUCAUCCCAUUUCUAACAAAAAAAAAAAAAGAAGAGAUAUAUACACUAAAGUCCCAAUAUUUUCAACGAUUUGAUAAGAAAGCCCUAAACUUUAUUUUUUUGACAAUAAAAUCCUAAUUCGCGAUAUGGCGGACUAGUUANUUUAUUGUUUUCUUUUGAAAGAAUUAAGAUAUUUAUUGUUAAUUACUAUUGAUUUGACGUUUUUAAGAUAUUAGUUGGUUAUGAUUUAAGUUGAUUGUCUUAUAUCUUAUGUUUUUUUAUCAUUAAAAGUAAUAUGUUUGAAUUCUUGAAAUCGUUUGAGUUCUAAACUGUGGUUAAAAACCAAACAAAAUAACCGCACCAAAUCCAUGUAGUUAAUAACCGCAACACAAAAAAAAUAAAACCACACCGCAAAAAUAACCGUCUAACCAUACCGCACAAAAAACCGCACCAAACGGUUUUGAAAAUGGAUUAACCGCAUUUGCAGUUAGUGGUGAGGUUUUGGCUAAUAACCGCACCGCGCUCACCCCUAAUUUUUAGUAUUUAAUAUAAUUUAAAAUGUUAAGUAUAUCUUAGUGUUUUUUUUAUAACUAAUGUACUGUAAUAAAUAUGAAGGAUAUAUACACUAAAGUCUUAAUAUUUUUAACGAUUUGACAAGAAAGUUCUAAACUUUGUUUUUUUGACAGUAAAGUCCUAACUAUCAUAGUUUUUGACACACAUAUACUUUUUUGCCGGUUAGGAUUUUUUUAUUAAAUAGUUGAAAAUAUUGAGACUUUAGUGUAUAGUCUUGGUUUCCCUAGAAAAAAAUAUUUUUAUCAGUCUCGUGAAACUCAAUUCGUAUCCCAAAAACUUUUAAUUGUGAUUUUCAUUACAACAUCACUGUUUUUCUUACCAUCAUCAUUUUUAUUCUACUACAAUGACAAUUAGGAAAACAGAUGCAAAAGAGAGAGCAAGAGAAGGUGAGAAGGCUUGUAAAACUUUUUUCUUGGUUAGCCGCCAAAUUUUAAACUGAAAAUAGAGGAUAGAUUGUACAAACACAAGCACUACAUGCUUAGUCAAAAAUGUGUAAAUGUGGAGAAAGGUAAGAAUGACAGUUUCGUCUUUUUUGAUUUCUUAAUUUUCCAUUUUUAGAAUUGCAAAAAGCCAACACAACCCUGGUUCUUUCUUUCUUUCUUGAUUAUCUUCAUUUUUUUCAAUGUCGAUUUGUUGGGAUUUAAAAAAAACUAUUUAACAAAAAACAAAUAUUAAAUAUUUCAAUAGGAUCUAGCUGAUAAGAGCAAGUUCCAAUAACUCUUAUACUUAAAGAAUAUCAUCCCAUUUCUAACAAAAAAAAAAAAAGAAGAGAUAUAUACACUAAAGUCCCAAUAUUUUCAACGAUUUGAUAAGAAAGCCCUAAACUUUAUUUUUUUGACAAUAAAAUCCUAAUUCGCGAUAUGGCGGACUAGUUAUACUGAAGACUCCGAGAGCAAUCCAGAUAUGAUGCAGGCCCGGCGCAACGGUCCAGUCAGGAUGAAGGCUCAUGUAUGCAUGUUGUUAUCUGUAUGGUUGUAUGCGGUACUUUAGGGGAACUCACUAAGCUUUGGCAUACAGUUUUCAGUUAACAUUUUAGGUACUUCAGAUAACCGUAGGAAGCAAAGGCGUAAUCGUGUACAUCCUCUUAGUUUUGAUAAUACUGAUUUGGGACAUUUUGAUAUAUGAUUUCUACUUUUGAGAACAAUGUUUUGUAAAAGUUUGGUUUUGAUUUGGAUUUUUUCUGAAAAUAAUGAUUCCUCUUGAUUUAAAAAUGAAAAAAAAAAUUAUCAUGAAUUUGGGAUGUUACAUAAUUUCAUAUUUGUCCACGACAAGACUUAAAGUUCAAUAUCAAAAAAGAAGGUCACCAUGAUAUCGCUGGGCUUGAACCUCUUUGUUAGUAUGUAGUGAUACGAUCUUGACAACAUUUGCCAGAAAAUAUUAAAGCAUACAUAAUGAAAUGAAAUUAUAAAACAAUAAAAUAAGAGAAAUCCAGUAAUUUAACCCAUAAUGAAAUGAAGUCUUCGAAGAAAAAAAAGUAACCUAAUUUUUUUUUAAAUAAUCACUUUGUCCGGAAUAGUUCACUCAGAGAGAUCAUCGGGAUACCGGAAUAGGAUCUGGACAAACGUUCCGGAAAAGUCUUUAUUUUUUUUAUUUUUUUCGUAUAAUGGGUUUUGUGUUAAUUUUUUUGUUUAUUGUUUUUGUAUAAUAUUUGUUUUUAUGAAAUCUAUAUUGCAAUUGUAAAAGUGCAUGAAAUGUUAAAAUCUACUACAAAAAGUAAAAAAUACAUGAGCUUAAAUUUGUUUUAAAUAAUAAUACAAUAUUCAAGUAAACUUUAUCCUUAUACCUCAAAAUUAAAUUUUUUUUAAAAAAUAAUACAAUAUUUAAAUAAAAUUUAUCCUUAUAACUCAAAAAAUUUCAUCAAUCGUUUGCUAAAAGUGAUUAACAUUACGGACACGUUCUUCGCAUUCCUGACAAGUUCUUUGCAUUUCAGAAUGGUAUUUUUUCUAAAAUAUUAAUUUUUGAUGUGUAAUACUGACAAGUUCUUCGCAUUUCGGAAUGGUAUUUUUUCUAAAAUAUUAAUUUUUGAUGUGUAAUGCCCUAAUAUAAAUAAAUAAAUUGGUUUUCGGUCGGUCCUACAUCGUCAACAUGUGUUGCUACACUGGUACGUGUUAAUCACCUUGGUACGUGUUCUGUUCAUUCUACUCUGGUACGUGUUCUUUUCAUUCUAGAUUAAUGUUCUAAAAACAAAAAUCUUAAAACUAAACUACUAAAAGAGUAAGAACUUACCGUAAAACAUCCACAUCGUCUUGAUUGUGUUCAGAUAUGUCCGAGAUCGGAAUACAUGUCGGAAUGCGUUUGUAAACCAAGAUCUGAAAUGUAUCAGAAUAUAAUCUAGAAAAUGAAUUACAAGUAGUCCGGAAGGCCCAACUCGCUACAAAGUCUGAAACUGACUCAUGAAUGGCUCAUUCCAGAUACGAUAAUUAUUUUGCAAAAAGUAAUUAAAUAUGUUAUUUUUUUAAAGUACACUAAAAAUAUUUAAAUUAAUCAUUAUCCCAUAACAUAAAAAAUAGGUUAAUGAAAUGGAUCAUAUUAUUAUAGUUUUAUUUUAGUUUUCCAGANNNNNNNNNNNNNNNNNNNNNNNNNNNNNNNNNNNNNNNNNNNNNNNNNNNNAAAGGAAUACUAAAUUUGUUAUUUUUUGGCAGAACUGGUCCUGUAUUAUUAUUGGGUUUCAAAGUUGGGAAUAAUAAAUUUGGAUGUUUUUUGUCAACUUUGUUUUUUCAUUCUUUAACCAUUUUGACACUUUUGGUCAUUACAAUCAAUAUUUUUACACUUUUUAGGAACCUUUUAAUCUUUAAAGUUUGGCCACAAAACUUUAACGGUUUGACAACUUUGAUCCCUUUUCUAAAAAGUUGCUAAUUCCUACCCCUUUAAUUCUUUAGCCAUUUUGACACUUCUGGUCCUUGCAGUCAAAACUUUUACAUUUUUUCAUAAAAACAUGAAAAAAACGGUCUGGGGCAAAGUCCGGGCUUUUCAUCCUUGCACUUUCUACGUCUGUCAUAUUUAUCGAUUCGCAAACAACAUUGAAAGCUUCCGGCCCCCGCAUAGCAGGGGUAACAUUUCUAGUUUUAAAUAUAUCUCUUCUUUUUAGGUAUGAAAUGACAAACUGAAAUUAAUAAAAGGAUAUUAUAUUAAAAAACAAAGUUUUAAUUAAAAAUAUAUAUUUUUAUAUAAAAUUCAAUCCAGAAAACAAACGUUAUGUUUUAUAAAAAUAUUUUAUUUUAUUUUCUUUGUUAGAGCAUCGGGUAUGGGGUUAAGCCGUGUUUAUUGUUGAGGUGGUGGCUAAAACGCCGUCUUAACGCAAGGAACACCCUCUGUUUUUCAAUUCAUACAAUUCUUCUCUUUUCUCUAUAUUCUAUUUAAUUUCAAAACUUUUCAAAAAAAAUUACUGAUCCUUUCGUCGAGUCCGAUGAUGAUAGUGACGAUAUAUUCAUCACUAUGAUGUACUAGUAUUGCACUAACGAGUACAACUAGACACAACCACUUUACUAACAAAACGUGCUAUGUUAAAUAGAAAUCGUGAGGAAAGACACGAAUGUCUACAUUGCGAUUACGUUCCAGAAAAUAGUGUAUACGGGUCAAAGGAGUUUAAAAUAAGAUUUUGUUUGGGUAGGAAUGUGUUUCUAAGGAUCGUCAACACCUUGCAAAGCCAGUAUCGUUUAUUUAAUUUUAAUACAUAUUUAUUAUAUUUUUAAUACAAAUUUACUACAUUUUUAACACAUAUUUUUAAUAGAAAUUUACUACAUUUUUAAAACAUAUUUUUAAUACAAAUUUACUAUACUUUUAAUACAUAAUUAUUAUAUGUUUAGGUAUAUAUUUUUUCAAUUAAGAAAUGAUGCUCGAGGUAGGCGAUGAUUCACAACAAUGUAGAAAUGUGUUGCGACCAUUCGUGUGAUAGUUAUAGGAGAGUCACCCGAUACUAUAGACGAUUAUAUCCGAAUGUUUGAAAAAUCUACGAGGGAAAGUUUGUAUAGAUUUUCAAAAGGUGUUUGCUGAAACAUUCAGAGACGUAUAUUUGCGGUAACCUUUGUUGCAUUAUAUGCAAGAACUAUAUGCAACACAUGUAGAAAGACAAUGAUUUCCCAGAAUGCUUGGAAGCAUUGAUUGCACACACUGAAAAUUGAAAAAUUGUCCAGUAACAUAGAAAGGGCAGUAUGUAAGUGGUCAUCAUGAACCGCCUUCGUUGGUACUAGAGGCUGUUGCUUCCUAAGAUUUAUGGAUUUCGCAUGAAUUUUUCGGGGUUGCGAGUUCCAACAACGACGUCAACGUUCUUCACCAGUCACCAAUAUUCCACGAUCUUUUGUUAGGAAAUGCAUUGAAUGCUCUUUUCACAGUGAAUGAAAAUGAAUACAAGUUCGAGCAUUACCUUAUGGAUGGAAUAUAUCAUGCGUAUUCGACAUUCGAUAAGGAAUUCUUAAACCCAGGUGAAGCAAGAGAUAAAUUAUUCAAGAGAAUACAAAAAUGAGCAUGCAAGGAUGUGGAACGUGUUUGUAGAGUUCUGUAACACCCAAAGUUUUGAAGGACAAGAAAGGAAAGAAAACCUUAAUUUUAAGGGGCGACUCGGCGAGUCCAAGGAGGAACUCAGCGAGUCCGAGCGAGAUCCGAGUCGAGGAGUAAGUGACCGACUCGGCGAGUCGGCCAAGGUGACUCGGCGAGUCUGGUCUGUGCAAGGAAAACCCUAAAUUCGGGACUUGGAGCCUUUAUAAACGCCUUAACCUCCUUCCAAGGGUCCCUUUACUGCCUCUUGCACCCAGAGCAUCGAACCCCAAACCCCAUAGUUGCCCAUUCAAGCUCCCAAGCCAUAUUGAGUGAUUUGAAGGAAGAAGAAGAAGGGGAAAUCAUUGAGGCUUCAAGAAGUGGUCUUGGAUCUGAAGAUUUGGGGAACAUUUCUGAGUACCUGAAGGUAAUAAGUUGUUUCUCUCUUUUAGACCUUCUAUGGUUGUGAGAUUUAGGGAUUUUAAGCCAUGGUUUGCCACCCAAGUGAGCUAGAAGUCGGAUCUGGAGUUGCUACUUCAGAUCCAAGUGUGUUAUGAGCUGGGGAAGCAUAAAGUAUCAGCCCUUGAGUCAAUUUUGGAGCCCCUUUGGCCUUAAACCCUAGUUUAUGGUGGAUUGUGCCUAGAUCUCCUUCUCUACACGUAAAGUUUGCAACUUUACGUGGGGAAUAGGCUUGGGAAGGGUAGAUCUACAGUUUGGAGUCCAUGCAUGACUCGAAAGUCCUCUGCAUGUAAGUAGAUCCGAAUGGACUCGGCGAGUCCUUCGAGUGGACUCGGCGAGUAGCUUGAAGAUGAGGAGGAACUCGACGAGUGGGAUGAACAGCUCGUCGAGUCGGAUGAAGUUGGGCAGGAACUCGGCGAGUUGGAUGAACAACUCGGCGAGUCUGUUGAAGGUUGUCUUGGACUCGGCGAGUCUGUUCUUGGACUCGGCGAGUCAGGUCGCGAAACCCCAAACCCUUCGAGUUGAGACUCGAAUCAGUGAGUCGAAUGGAGACUCGGUGAGUUGGACAGGUCAGGACUCGGUAAUCGGUAGACUCGGCGAGUCAUGGACUGACUCGGCGAGUCGAGUCGCGAAUAGAAGGACUCUGAACAUAUGAACUCGGUGAGUCAAUAGGGUGACUCGGCGAGUAGGGUUGACCUGGAAGGUUGACUUUGACCAGGACUUUGACUUUGACCAGAGUUGACUUGGUUGUCUUUCGGGGGUCAGUUAGACUCAGUGUUGCAUUGAUAUUGGUAGCUCGGGGAGCGAGUGGAGCAGGAGUUCAGAGAGUUGUCGGGCAGCAGCUAGUGGGUUCAUCAGCCAGUUCAGCCAGUGCAGGUGAGUUUCCCUUUGUAUGAAUGGGUCUACGGCCACAAUGCCGGCCCAUGUAGUUAUGAGUAGAAGACCCGGGGGUUAGCCCUAGGCACAGUAUGCUAGUAUGAUAUUCGGGACGAGGUCCAAUGAUAGAGGGCGGGUGCCCAAGGAAUGGUUUAAAUGAUAGUUUAUACUUGUUGUCUGUGUGAUACUUGUAUGUGCCUGGUAGGGAGGUGAGUGUGGGCGAGGUCCCGUACCUCACCAAUAGCAGAGUGUGUAUGGUGUUCCAUAUCUCAGUAGCAGCAGAUCAGGGGCGAGGCCCAAGUUAGGGAAGGAGUGAGGGUGGGCUGGGCCCGUAUCUCACUAUCAGCAGGAGUAUGAACGGGGUUCCAUGAAUCAUCAGUAGCAGGACAUGGGCAGGACCCAGUGAUAGGCGAGGCCUUAGAACAAGAUCCGUUAGUAUGUAUUUAGCUUAUGUGAUGUGAUGUGAUAUGUUUAUGUGCUAUUAUAUGUUAGUGGGCGGGGCCCUGUGACAGGCGAGGCCUAAGUGAAACAGAUCUGUAUCCGAGCGGGGCUCGAAGCCAGGCGGGNGUUGUAGAGGGUGAGGCCCGAGGUAGGGGGCGAGGCCCAGGAUAGGGGGCGUGGCCCAGUAUGUGCAGUAUGUGGUUAUGCAUAGUAUGUGGUAGGGUGGGGAACUCACUAAGCUUCGUGCUUACGGUUUUCAGUUUUGGUUUCAGGUACUUCCGGUAGCGGAGGGAAGAGCUCGGGGUGAUCGCAUGGCACACACCAUAGUUUAGACAGCCUGGGGAUGUUUACUCUGAUAACGAACAUGUAUUUUGGAAACUAAUACUCUGUUUAUGUUUUGAAAUGAUGAAUUUGCUUAAAGUAAUGUUUUAUUAAAAGAAAUUUUUAUCCUGAAAUUUCGGGACGUUACAAGUUCUAUAGUCGAAGUGGCACAUAGUUGAACAUGCGACACUACCAUUGGACUUAAAAAAUCUAUGAUAUCUUAUGUAUGCAUAUAUUAUAAUGCAUAACAUGGUAGUGGAAGAUAAAUGACAAUAUUUCACACUAUAUAUCCCAACGGAGCACAAACAUAGUCAAUUUCAACCAGAAACAACAAAAUAUUUACAAAGAGUGGUUGAUAUUCAAGAUGCAAAUAAACAAAAACAGUUUCAAGAAGAUUUGAUUGAUUAUAUCUUCAAUGGUAAUGAUGAUGAAUAGUGUUGUUUAGGAAAAAUAAAUUAUGUUUUUUUUAUCUUGUAGUUUCUUUCUUUCUUUUUUUCUUGUUUUUUUUUUUUUUUUUUUUAAAUUUUGGAUGUUAUAUGUAAUUUAAAGACUAAACUACACAAAUGGUCCUUGUGGUUUGUCAAAAAUUGCCACUUUUGUACAAAAAUGUUUAGGCUAGCACCAGUGGUCUAAAAGUUUGAUUUUGUUGCGAGUUUUGUCCAAUUUACUUUGAAUUUUUUUAAAAUGACAAGUUUGCCCUUUUUUAAUUUCAUUUUCUAUUUUUUUAUUUAGUUAUAUUUCUGAUUUAAAUUAAACAAAAAAAAAAGAAAUUUGUUUUCAGUCCUCCCUCCGGUAAACAACGCCACCACCACCGAUCACCAUCUCCUCUCUCUCUCUCUCUCUCUCUCUCUCUCUCUCUCUCUCUUUCUUGUUGGUUGGNUCUCUCUUUCUUGUUGGAACACCUCUGAUCUCAACCCUCACCAACAUGCUCUUUGUUUCUUCUCCGACAAUGGAAACAUAAUUGUAAUGCCCGGGUUUCCAGGCUAGGCAUUAUUGGUGAUGUAAUAGUCUAGGUUAACCUUAUAACUCAUCUUGAAAUAAUAAAAUUGUAUUAUUGGAAUAUUAUGAUUUUUGUGCUUAAUUGAAUUAAGGAUAAAAUAAUUGUCAAAGUGAAAUGUUAUAUAAGCUCAAUAUCUAUGAAGGAAGUUGUAGUGGUUGUGACGAGGUUUCCAAAUAUAUAUAGAAUGCCGAAAUCUGAGUUAUAACGAAGAAGUUUCGCGACAGAACCGACACGACGCUGAAUGACAUAAAAUAUGAAUCUAGCAUUANAUACAAUUAUUCUAGCAUUAGUGAUCUAAAUGAAAGUCGUAGAAUAUGUUAAACCGAGAGCGUGCAUAAAAAGAACCCCAAAUCUGACUUCGUAUGAGGAAGUUAUGAUUUUCCGAAGUCUCGGGGCACAAAACCCGACUCUGUGUCAGGGUUCACGACAUAAACAUUGUGUUCACGACGUGAAUCCAGAAAUUUGACCCUUCCGGAGCUAGCAGACCCAAGUGGCUUGACGACGAACGCGACGAUCGAGCUCAUGACGUGAGCACUUGAAACUCAUGACAUGAACCCAGAAAAUUGGCCCUAUAAAUAGAAAUCAAAGGACAACGGAUUUAGCUUGCUACUUUCUUACCCUUCCACUCCCGAAACUCUCUCUAAGCCCUAUUUUAAGCCCCCGACGCCCCGGUAUCAUCCCGAGACCCAAAGCAAGUCCCAAAGCUCCGAAGAUCGAAGAAAAGAGUUUCUGAGCCGAAGCUCUGCCCGCGAGAAGUCCGGUGUGUGAAGAUAUCCCAGAUUCAUCGAAGAAUACUACUUGAAGAGCCGUAGCGUUGUCCGAGCAUCGUCUUAACAAGUGAGUGUGUAGUUACCUUCUUCUAACAUAUAAAUACGAAUUAUUUUCUAUGAAAUACGUGAUACAUGUUUAGAUAUUGUUGUUUAUUUGAAGUGAGUGUAUAUUCCUUUCUUCUAUCUGAUAAAUACAAGUAUUCUCUAUAAAAAUACGUGUUAUGUGUAGUUGUGUUGUUUUGUUUAAUUGAGAUGAUGUUGAAAGAAUGUUUUAUACAUGUUUAUAAUGAUUUAAUAUAUAUAUAUANUAUAACAUGGGUAGAUGAAUUAAGUUGUUGUGUGACAAAAAUGAUGAGAGAUCUCGUCGUUGUUUCUGAUUCAGUCAUCUAGCGGAGUUUAGAUGACGACCACAUACUUUUCUAGACAGUCCUGUGGAAGGCUAGCAGGCUCGCCACCUUUAGGUGUUUGUGAACUUAUUGUUCAGUUGUAUACUCCAUCCCCUACAUGGUUGCCUUAUUUGACAUAUAUUGCUGGAAAACCCCCGAAGCAUGUGUUGUCACCCCCGAUGAAUAUUCUUAGACUAGGUCCCUUGUGAAAGGUGUUUAGGGACGUAAAGUGAGAAUAACGGGAAUGUGUAAUUGGGUUAUUGUUGAUUGUUGAAAUUAAAUAAAUUAUUUAUUGUGGAGUGAAAGCCCUAUAUGCUCACCAGGCUCCCAAUCCUGAUCCACUCAGUUUUCUUUGUAUUACAGGUAGUGGCACCAGAGCAUAAGUUGGAUGAUUUGUCAGGAUAUUUUGGAUUAUAGACCUGUUGUUGUAAAUAAUUGUUGUAAGGUCUGUUUGUAAUGUUUAUGCUUUUGGUCUGUGUCGGAACAUCACAUCCCGAGUUUUGUUAUAUAAUGAAAAUACAUUUCUUUAAGAAAUGUUUUGGUAAAUCUUAUUUUAUCAUAUUUCAUUUUGGGAACAAAUUCCACAACUCUUUUAAUCAAAGGAUUACUCUGAAAUUAUUUUAAAAGCAUAAAUUAAACGGUCUUUUCUGGCCGUGAUUUUGGGGAUGUCACAGUUGGUAUCAGAGCAUUAGUUUAAGCGAACUAGGAAUUUGUAGCAUUUCUAGACUUAAAAUUAGAAUUCUAAGUGAAGAUUGUGAGAUAUGUGUCUGUUAUAUUUUAGACACGGGCACUAGUUUAUAUUAGGAAAGCUGCCUAAUAUGCUUUAUGUGCUAAAUGUCAUAUGUUUGCCAUAUAUUAUAUUAUUUGUUCGGAUCUAUGGUCUGUUGCCGACCGGAUCGGGAAACCUUAUGUGUGUAGGAUUCUAAACGCACUUCUACGGUAUUAGAACUAGCAUGUAAACGUUUCGGAGUAAUAUGGAGGAUUGUAAUAUCUAUCGUGAAUGAGGAUCUAAUUUCACCUUAUUCGGUGUAUAGAUCAAUAAUGGCAAGAUCAAGAAGCGGAGCUGGAAACGUAAAUGAAAAUAGGAAUCAACUGCCUGUGAUUGAACAAGUAGUUGUUGCAACAGCAGCACCUGAGCCAAUGACAAUGGCUGGUGUGCAAUUGAUGAUUCAGACGAUGUUGGAUCGUCAAAUGGAGGAGACAAGGCAUUUGCUUCAGCAGAAUCGUGAAGAACCUUCUAUGCCUGUUGAAUGGCCCGAAUUGAAUGAAGGGUAUUUGGAAGGAGGAAACUUCAGUGGGACUGUUGGUCAAGCCAACCCACCGAUAGUCAGAAAAAAUAACCAAGAUGGAGGGAAUGAUGGAAUGGGAUGCAAGUAUAAGGAUUUUCUGACUUGCAAACCAUCGACCUUCACUGGAAAGGAGGAUUCGAUCGAAGUCAUGGAUUGGAUCUUAGAGAUGGAAUUGGCCUUUAUGACGUGUGGUUGCAGAGGCAAGUUGCAGACUACCUUUGCAGUGCGUCACUUCAGAGGUAGAGCUGUUCAUGGGUGGAACACCCUAUGGAAUACUCUAAUCCCCAACGAGCCACUGUAACUGGCUUGGGCAGAAUUUUUGGUGCAAUUCAAGCACACGUUCUACUUAGCUCAAAAUCUGCUAGAGUUGGAGAACAACUUUCUGACAUUGAGGAAAGACAGCAUGUCAGUUGAUGAAUACACCAAUGCCUUUACAGACAAGAUGGAUUUUGCCUUGCAUCUUGUCCUGGAUGAGUUGACCAAAGUCAACAAGUACGCUAAGGGACUUCCAUGGGAGUACGAGGUGCCAGUACGUCAGGCACAUACUCUAGAGGCAGCUAUCUGGGCUGCCAAGUCUGUUGAGAAUAUGAUCAAGGGGAGAACCGCCAGCAAGGUUGAAGUUGGUGAUAAGAUAAAGUUUGAAGGAGCUUUAGGUUCGAGUAAGAAAAGUAAAUUUUCAAAGUCUACUUCGAAGAAGUUUGGAGGAGGAGUCGAAGCGAAGUGGUGUGAUAAGUGUAAGAAGAAACAUGUUGGAAAAUGUGGCGAGGAGGUCACUUGUUUUAAAUGUGGAAAGUCAGGGCACUACGCCAGAAAGUGCACAACCAACAAAAGGGUGUGUUAUGGAUGCCACGAAGAAGGGCACAUUUUGAAGGAUUACCCGAAGAAGGAGGGUGUAGCAAAACCCAACAUUCCCCCAAAGCCGAAAGCGAGAGCCUUCCAGAUGACACUGGAAGCUGCGAAAGAGGAAGCUGAUGUCGCUUCAGGUACCUUUCUCAUAAACGAAUUGCCUGCUCAAAUUUUGUUUGAUUCUGGAGCCAACUACUCCUUUAUUUCACAUGAAUUUGGUAGAAAACUAGCUUUGCCUAUUGCUAGACUAGAUAAUGCUUUCUUAGUCGAAGUUGCUAGUGGCAAGUUUGUACCUGUUAGCCAUUGCAUGAAAAACAUCUUCAUUGACUUGAAUGGGAAUAAGUUUCACAAGGAGUUAUUGCAUAUAGAACUUAAUGGUUUCGACAUCGUUCUGGGGAUGGAUUGGCUUAGCGCCAAUGAUGCCGAAAUAUUAUGCCGAAAGAAGAUAGCAAAAGUAAAUCCACCAGGGAAAGAGUCAUUUAUGGUGUAUGGGGAUAAACGUAGAGUGAAUUCUGGAAUCAUUUCCCUAAUGAAAGCCAGAAAGUGUUUGGCCAAGGGAUGUACAUUAUAUCUAGUAUUCGUAAUUGAUGCUAAGAAGGAAAAGAAGGAGAUGCAGAGUAUUCCAUUGGUGUGUGAUUAUCCAAAAGUAUUUCCCAAAGAUCUUCCUAGAUUGCCACCUGAUAGACAAGUGGAGUUUAGAAUAGACUUGUUACCAAGAACCAUGCCAAUAGCAAAAGCACUGUAUCGAUUAGCACCAACGGAGAUGAAGGAGAUGAUGAUGCAACUUCAGGAGUUAUUGGACAAAGGUUUCAUUAGACCUAGUUCAUCACCCUGAGGAGCUCCGGUGUUAUUCAUAAAGAAAAAGGAUGGGAGCAUGAGAAUGUGUAUAGAUUACAGACAGCUGAAUAAGGCAACAAUAAAGAAUAGAUACCUGUUGCCAAGGAUUGAUGACCUGUUUGAUCAAUUUCAAGGUUCGAGCUAUUUCUCGAUGAUCGAUCCUAGGUCAGGAUAUCAUCAGCUAAAGGUAAGAGAACAAGAUAUCGAGAAGACUGCUUUCAGAACAAGAUAUGGACACUAUGAGUUCUUGGUUAUGUCGUUUGGACUAACCAAUGCUCCAGCAGCGUUCAUGGAUUUAAUGAAUAGGGUUUGUAAACCAUUCCUUGAUAAAUCCGUGAUAGUGUUCAUAGAUGACAUUCUGAUUUACUCGAAAAGCCAAGAGGAGCAUGGCAGGCAUUUGCGAGAAAUGUUAGAAGUUUUAAAGAAGGAGAAGUUGUAUGCAAAGUUCUCCAAAUUUGACUUUUGGAUUCGAGAAGUCCAAUUCUUGGGUUGCGUGGUCAACCAGGAAGGGAUAAUAGUUGAUCCAAGCUAUGAUGAAGUGGGAACAACCGAAAAGUCCCACGGAGAUCCGAAGCUUUUUGGGAUUAGCCGGAUAUUACCGAAGGUUUAUCCAAGGCUUUUCUUUAAUCGCUACUCCAUUAACAACUUUGACCCACAAGGGAGCUACUUAUACUUGGAGAGAGAAACAUAAGGAAGCAUUCGAGAAGCUAAAGAAGAAGCUAUGUAAAGCACCGAUCCUUUCUCUACUUGAUGGAGUUGAAGACUUCGCUGUCUAUAGCGAUGCGUCUGGUGUUGGUUUGGGUUGUGUUUUGACCCAAAGGGAAAAGGUGAUAGCAUAUGCGUCUCGACAGCUGAAGGAGCAUGAGAAGAACUACCCCACUCAUGAUUUGGAGUUGGCAGCGGUAGUUUUCGCACUAAAAAUAUGGAGGCAUUACCUUUAUGGCACGAAGUGCAAGCUUUUCACUGAUCAUAAGAGUCUCCAAUAUCUCUUUAAUCAGAAAGAAUUGAAUAUAAGGCAACGAGCUGACUAGAGUUACUUAAGGACUGCGACUGUGAGAUACUUUACCACCCUGGUAAAGAAAAUGUUGUCGCUGAUGCGCUCAAUUGGAAAGUCAAUAUUAAGAGAAAGAGGCCAAGAACGUUGAGAAUAGAAGUUGUCUCGACAAUUGUGGAGAGUAUGAAGAAGGCUCAAGAAGAAGCUUCAGAAAAGAAUGAUCGAAAGGAGGAACGUUUGGGUAAAACGUUAGUGUUCGGUAUAAACAGUCAUGGACUGAAGGUGUUCCAUGUUCGGAUUUGGAUACCUAAGACAGGAGGAAUAAGAAAUAUUCUGAUGGAAGAAGCUCAUAAAGCCAUGUACUCGAUUCAUCCACGUAACACUAAAAUGUAUAGGUACCUGAAACCCUAUUACUGGUGGCCGAAGAUGAAGCUUGAUAUUGCAAAGUAUGUGGCCGAGUGUCUGACAUGUGCUAGAGUUAAGGCACAACAUCAGAAACCAUAUGGGAGUUUAGAACCAUUACAUGUACCCAUGGGUAAAUGGGAAGACAUUGCCAUGGAUUUUGUCACUAAACUGCCUAGAACAAAGAACGGUCACGACAUGAUUUGGGUGGUCGUUGAUCGCUUCACUAAGAGUGCGCACUUCAUAGCAGCCAAUGAGGAAUGGUCUAUGGAAAAGCUUGUGAAUUCUUACGUGAAGGAAACUGUGAGGCUUCACGGUGUUCCGUUAACGAUUGUAUCAGACCGCGACAGCCGUUUCACCUCAAGAUUUUGGAAAAGUCUACAAGAGGAAAUGGGUACCAAGUUGUGUUUAAGUACAACUUUCCAUCCGCAGAUUGAUGCUCAGAGCGAAAGAACGAUACAAACACUUGAAGAUAUGCUGAGAGCAUGUACCCUAGAAUUCCUAGGUAACUGGGAUGAACAUUUACCUCUGGUAUAAUUUUCCUAUAGUAAUAGUUUCCACUAGAGCAUAAAGAUGGCACCUUAUCAAGCUUUGUAUGGUCAGAAGUGUCGUACGCCAUCUUGUUGGCUUGAAGCUGGAGACAAACAGUUUACAGGACUUGAGAUGGUCCAUCAGACCGCUGAAAAGCUGAAAAUAAUCAGGGAAAGAAUGUUAGCCGCUCAGGAUCGUCAAAAGAGAUAUGCUGACAUAAAGCGAAGACCGAUGAUGUGACAACCCGAAAUUUUUAUCUUGUACAACCAUUCAAUUCAAUCAAAGUCAGACUUGUUUUUGCUAUCUUUUAGCACUGUUUAGAGUCUGUUUGAGUGUUCUAAGCCUAGUACCUUCAAGAGAUAAUGUUAGGAAGUAUACUCUAGAGUUCAGUGUGCAACAUUCAAGCCAUAAAACUCCAAGGAUUGGAGUUUACGGCCAUAAACUAGAGUUUACGGCCGUAAACUCAAUAGUAUAUAUUUGACACUUAGUCAUUUUUAUCACUUUUACCAUUUCAAGCCAAAGAACUCAUUCUCUCUCAAGUACCAUCCGAUUUUUCUCUUAGAUCUGCAAGAUUAUAAGUGUUUCUUCCCUUGAAUUGUUGAUUCCUUUCACUAUCUAGUCUGGAUCAUUGAUUUCAUCCAUGAAAUCUCUUCUUUUGGGUAGAUCUUCAAGUGUUCUUCAUUUCACCAAGAACAUACACUAGUGUAUUUGGACCUUAAUCACCCUAUCAAGCUUCUAUAUCGUAAGUACUCUUUCCUUAGCUUGAUAUAUGCUUGAAUCACAUGUUAAACACCUUGAAAACAUCAAGAAAUCAAGAACAAAAGGUGUUUACAUCCAAGAGCAUCGCCCUUGGUCGUAAACCCUAAUUAAUUGUGCAAUUGUGCCACCACUCCUUCCUAAGCCUUGGACUUGAGUCUAGAACACUUCAAGGAAGACCAUAAGACCUUAACACACAAUAUGGUACAAAAUACCAUGAGUUUACGGCCGUAAACUCAUUAGGUCCUAAACCCAUGGGCCGUAAACUCAUGGGGGUUUUACCAUUUGGGUCGUAAACUCCUAUGUAAGGCCAUACACCCCUUAUAUGCAACCCUAAGUGGUUUAACACUUCAUAACAAGUGUUUCCUAGUCCCUAAGGUUGUUCCAUUUCAUGAUUAGAUGUUAUAAACACUAAUUAGAUGCAUAUAUAUAUAUAUAUAUAUAUAUAUAUAUAUAUAUAUAUAUAUGUGUGUGUGUGUGUGUGUGUGUCAUUAUAUGCUAAAUAGGAUCCAUGUGUGUUCAAGUCUUCACUUGACACUUAGCAUCCUAUACCAAUCUUUCAUUCGCAUCACUCACUACAGGUGAGUUCAUACCCCUUAACUUAUCUUCUAAAUGAUUUUAAAUGCUUUUAGGGGGGGGGGGGAAUACAAGUAGAAAACAUGUAAGUUAUAUAAUCAAUCACAUAUGAUUUAUAACUGUGUUUCAAACAAAUGAUUUCACAUACAUCAAACAAUGUUCCAAACAAAGGAUUUCAUAUACUUCAAACUGUCUUAUCAAACAAACUGAUUUUAAAUCGUUUUAUAAACUGACAUCAAGUCGUUAUUGUUUAUUGUUAAAACUCUUUAAAUGCAUUACAAAACCUCUUUUAAACUUAUAUAUAUUGUCAAAAGCAUGUCUAUAUAUGUAUAGUUAUAUAAAUAGUGUUUAAAGGACUUAGGACUGCAGACUCGCCUUAUUUUCUUUUCCUUGUUUGGAUGUGGACUUAGGGUAUCGGUUAUUUGUCCGAAGGUCGUCUAAAUAUUAGAUAUAUAUUAUGUUUACAUAUGUAGAUAUAAAAGUACUAUCAAUCAGUUCAGUACCUUUGUGUAGCAAAGGUAUACAUUCAUUCAUUUAUUUAGUUACAUAAAUCACUAGUAAACUAUAAUAGGUAUAGUUUAGGAGAAUACUAUCAUAUACAAAUACUAUAACAGAGAAUACUAUAACAGAGAAUACUAGACAGAGAAUACUAUACAAAGGAUAAUAUACAGAGAAUACUAUACAUAAAAUACUAUUACUAUAACUAGUAUACUAUAACAAGGCUCAGAGAUAACACAAUGUGAGAUACCACUUCAUGACACAGCGACCAUUUCGUUGUGUCACGUUUUGUAACCAGAAUCUCCUGGAGGGAGAGCGUGAGUUUGCAUAUAGCUCUAUACUGGAUUGACUAUCCUACACCUUUGGUAUUCGCUACAGUGGGACUUGCAAGUCUACGGGUGCCAAAUGUUAUUUCUUCCGACAUCUUUCAUCGUCGUGUUAUAGUCGGUUUAGUAUGGUAACAGUCUUAUCACAUUUUUCCUUGAUUAAACCAUUGGUUAUAAGGUAGCUAUUACUAUAGUAGUUAAUACAAAUAAUGUUGCAGUACACAUAAACUUUCCCAUUAUAUUCAAAUUGUGAUCUUCUCACAUAAAGGGUAAUAUGAAACUAUAUUUUGGUAAUGAUAGUCAUACUUGGGAAAACAUCCACUUUUACAGAGAAACAAACAUACAAAACAGUCGGGUCUUGGUAGAAGACUACUUUUUAUACUAGUAGACAAUAUAGGAUUUUCUAGGAGUUUUCAAACAGAUACAAACAUUUACAUUGAACAUUUACAAACGUUUUCUUCAAACUUAGACAAACAUUGACACUAAAUACUUAUGAACUCACCAACUUAAAUGUUGAUCUAUGCUUUCAAAAUAACUUGUAUUCUCAGGUCACCAGUAGACAGGUACAGAUGACUAGGUUUUGAGAAGACGGAGAAUGUCCAAGACUCGUCUUUUAUUUUGAUUAUUCAUUUUUGGUGUCUUAUUACUAUCAAAGAACACACUUGUAUCAAAUUAUAAUAUUAAUGCAGUGGAUGAUGUUGUUGCUUGUUUACUACUUUGCAUUAUUAUGAUAUUGUACAUGACGUCCUCCGCCCUCGAACAUUUUCGCCAUCCCGGUUUUGGGGUGUGACAGAUGACUUUUGAAGUUGGAGAUUCGGUUUUGCUUAAAGUCUCGUCGUGGAAGGGACCUAUAAGAUUUGGUAAAAGGGGAAAGUUGAGUCCAAGGUUUAUUGGACCGUUUAAAGCUCUUCAGAGGAUAGGGAACCAAGAUUACAAGCUCGAAUUACCCGAAGAACUGGAAGGUAUUCAUAACACUUUCCAUGUGUGUUAUUUGAGGAAGUUCACGGGAGAAGUUCCUGACAUAAUUCUAAUUUUUGAAUUAAAAUUGGAUGAAAACAAGAGGUUAAUUGAAGAACCUGAGGCAAUCGCUGACCGAAAGACUAAGAAAUUGCGACGCAAGAUGGUCGAAUUAGUGCUUAUCCGUUGGAAGCAUACUAGUGGGCCAAAUCUCACCUGGGAAACGGAGAGUGACAUGUUGAGUCGCUAUCCGCAUUUGUAUGUUGAUGUGUGAUUCUAGGGACGGAAUCAUCCUAAGGGGGGAGAGAAUCGUAACGCCUGCGUUUCCAGGCUAGGCAUUAUUGGUGAUGUAAUAGUCUAGGUUAACCUUGUAACUCAUCUUGAAAUAAUAAAAUUGUAUCAUUGGAAUAUUAUGUGUUUUGUGCUUAAUUGUGUGACUUAAUUAAAUUAAGGAUAAAAUAAGCGUCAAAAUGAAAUGUUAGAUAACCUCAAUAUCUAUAAAGGAAGUUGUAGUGGUUGUGACGAGGUUUCCGAUUAUAUAUAGAAUGCCGAAAUCCGAGUUACAACGAAGAAGUUAUGACCUGUCGAAGUUUCGCGACAGAACCGGCACGACGCUGAAUGACGUAAAAUAUGAAUUUAAGAUACAACGAUAUCUAGCAUUAAUUAUCUGCAUGAAAUUCGUAGAAUAUGUUAAACUGAGAGCGUGCAUAAAAAGAACCCCAAAUCUGACUUCGUAUGAGGAAAUUAUGAUUUUCCGAAGUUUCAACUUAGCAGUAUGCAACUCAAAGUUUGAUUUUGAGAUCAAGUGAGUUACAACCGAAACAAUCUAAACGAGAAUCGAAGAUCUCGUUGAUAGCAGUGCAACGGUAAAAAGACAGACGAAAAUGAACAUCAGACAAAGAAGUUAUGAAUUUCUAACGGAGUUUUCCCGUCCCGGCCUACUAAAAAUAAUAUAUUAAAAAUAAAGUCAAAAUUAGCCAACAGUGUCUAAACGAGAGUUGUAGAGCAUAAUCUCAUCUACGCGUGGAUAUAAUGAACAUCGAAAACGGAGCUCGUAUGCAAAAGAUAUGAAUUUCUGAAGUUUGGGGCAUGAAACCCGACCCUGUGUCAGGGUUCACGAUGUGAACACUGUGUUCACGACGUGAAUCCAGAAAUUUGACCCUUCCGGAGCUAGCAGACCCAAGUGGCUUGACGACCAACGCGACGAUCGAGCUCAUGAAGUGAGCUCUUGAAACUCACGACAUGAACCCAGAAAAUUGGCCCUAUAAAUAGAAAUCGAAGGACAGCCGAUUUAGGUUGCUACUUUCUUACUCUCCCACUCCCGAUCACAAUCUCCUUUCUCUCUCUCUCUCUCUCUCUCUUGUUGGAACACCUCUGAUCUCAACCCUCACCAACAUGCUCUUUGUUUCUUCUCCGACAAUGGAAACAUAACUGUAAAGCCCGGGUUUCCAGGCUAGGCAUUAUUGGUGAUGUAAUAGUCUAGGUUAACCUUAUAACUCAUCUUGAAAUAAUAAAAUUGUAUUAUUGGAAUAUUAUGAGUUUUAUGCUUAAUUGAAUUAAGGAUAAAAUAAUUGUCAAAGUGAAAUGUUAUAUAAACUCAAUAUCUAUGAAGGAAGUUGUAGUGGAUGUGACGAGGUUUCCAAAUAUAUAUAGAAUGCCAAAAUCUGAGUUAUAACGAAGAAGUUUCGCGACAGAACCGACACGACGUUGAAUGACGUAAAAUAUGAAUCUAGCAUUAGUGAUCUAAAUGAAAGUCGUAGAAUAUGUUAAACCGAGAGUGUGCGUAAAAAGAACCCCAAAUCUGACUUCGUAUGAGGAAGUUAUGAUUUUCCGAAGUUUCGACUUAGCAGUAUGCAGCCCGAAUUUUGAUUUUAGAUCAUGUGAGUUCUAGCCGAAACAAUCUAAACGAGAAUCAAAUAUCUCGUUGAUAGUAGUGCAACGGUAAAAAGACAGACAAAAACGGACAUCAGACGAAGAAGUUACGAAUUUCUAACGGAGUUUUCUUGUCCCGGCCUACUAAAAAUAAUAUAUUAAAAAUAAAGUCAGAAUUAGCCAACAGAGUCUAAAUGAGAGUUGUAGAGCAUAAUCUCACCUACGCGUAGAUAUAAAGAACGUCGAAAACGGAGCUGGUAUUCGAAAGAUAUGAGUUUCUGAAUCUCGGGGCACGAAACCCGACCCUGUGUCAGGGUUCACGGCAUAAACAUUGUGUUCACGACGUGAAUCCAGAAAUUUGACCCUUCCGGAGCUAGCAGACCCAAGUGGCUUGACGACAAACGCGACGAUCGAGCUCAUGACGUGAGCACUUGAAACUCAUGACAUGAACCCAGAAAAUUGGCCCUAUAAAUAGAAAUCAAAGGACAGCAGAUUUAGGUUGCUACUUUCUUACCCUUCCACUCCCGACACUCUCUCUAAGCCCUAUUUUAAGCCUCUGAUGCCCCGGUAUCAUCCCGAGACCCAAAGCGAGCCCCGAAGCUCCGAAGAUCCCGAGAAGAAAAGAGUUUCUGAGCCGAAGCGCUGCCCGCGAGAAGUCUGGUGUGUGAAGAUAUCCCGAAUUCAUCGAAGAAUACUACUUGAAGAGCCGUAGCGCUGUCCGAGCAUCGUCUUAACAAGUGAGUAUGUAGUUACCUUCUUCUAACAUAUAAAUACAAAUUAUUUUCUAUGAAAUACGUGAUACAUGUUUAUAUAUUGUUGUUUAUUUGAAGUGAGUGUAUAUUCCUUUCUUCUAUCUCAUAAAUACAAGUAUUCUCUAUAAAAAUACGUGUUAUGUGUAGUUGUGUUGUUUUGUUUAAUUGAGAUGAUGUUGAAAGAAUGUUUUAUACAUGUUUAUAAUGAUUUAAUAUAUAUAUAUAUAUAUAUAUAUAUAUAUAUAUAUAUCAUUUNAUGACGACCAUAGACUUUUCUAGACAGUCCUGUGGAAGGCUAGCAGGUCGCCACCUUUAGGUGUUUGUGAACUUAGUGUUCAGUUGUAUACUCCAUCCCCUACAUGGUUGCCUUAUUUGACAUAUAUUGCUGGAAAACCCCCGAAGCAUGUGUUGUCACCCCCGAUGAAUAUUCUUAGACUAGGUCCCUUGUGAAAGGUGUUUAGGGACGUAAAGUGAGAAUAACGGGAAUGGGUAAUUGGGUUAUUGUUGAUUGAUGAAAUUAAAUUAAUUAUUUAUGGUGGGUUGAAAACUCUAUAUGCUCACCAGGCUCCCAAGCUUGACCCACUCAGUUUUCUUUGUAUUACAGGUAGUGGCACCAGAGCAUAAGUUGGAUGAUUUGUCAGGAUAUUUUGGAUUAUAGACCUGUUGUUUUAAAUAAUUGUUGUAAGGUCUGUAUUGUAAUGUUUAUGCUUUUGGUAUGCAUCGGAACAUGACAUCCCGAGUUUUGUUAUAUAAUGAAAAUACAUUUCUUAUAGAAAUGUUUUGGUAAAUCUUAUUUUAUCAUAUUUCGUUUGGGGAACAAAUUCCGCAACUCUUUUAAUCAAAGGAUUGCUCUGAAAUUAUUUUAAAAUCAUAAAUUAAACCGGUCUUUUCUGGCCAUGAUUUUGAGGAUGUCACAAUAUCUGCAAAUGAGGGUUUGCUUCGAGCUAGGUUUUGCUGAGGAACAAUGAAGUCAGAGGAGAAGAUGAAAGGCGGAGAGAGGCAAUAUGUUUGCUUCUGACGGUGGUAUCCCACAAACCGGCUUCCAGAUCUGGACAGAGGAGGAUCUGGGUGGAGGAGGAUCUGAAUCGUCGCCACCAGAUCUGUCGAUUCAGGCUUUGUAAGGAUGCAUUUCAGAUUCUCGGAGGUGGCUUCGUCUAGAAAACCUUAAGAUCGACGACGUUCCAGUUCUGUAAACGUCCCCGUCUUCACAAAUCAACGAUAGCUUCGUCUGGAAACGAUCCUUCUCCGACGAGUCUCGUCUCUCUCAAAUCCGACGACCAGUUAGGGUUUUACGAUUCGACAAGUUAGGUUUUCAGAUCACUGACGUCCUUCUUCUUCACUGAUUAUCCGAAUCCAUAUGAGAUAAGGUGGCAGCGCUAGAGUUUCGGAAGUUGGUGAUGGUUUUUGUCAAAAAUCGGGUUUAUGAAUAUGGUUUUCAGUGGAGAAGACGAACCCAAAAAGUGACAAAAGGGUCCCCGGUGGUGGGAAUCAAUUAGGAUUUGUUGUAGGUGAUGGCGACUUUCAGAUUUGUUGGAGGUUGCUGGUGACAGAGAUGAUGGGGGCUGAAGGUGGGGCUGAAGGCGGUGGCGCCAAUGACGAAGACGGUGGUGGCGUCAACAAUGAUUUUGGAUGACGGUGCUUCCGUCGGUGACACCGGUUUCCAGCGAUGGCACCUAUUUAUGGGCUUUAUGAAAUGUUCUUGAGAGCCAUGAAGAACAAACGAAGAGGGAAGGAUAAAUAUUUGGGAAGAGGAGAGAGAGAGAGAGAGAGAGAGAGAGAGAGAGAGAGAGAUUUAUUUUCUUGUUUUUUAGAGAGAGAUAGAGAGAUUUAUUUUUAUUUUUAUUGUUUUUUUAAUCCGAAAAUCAAGAAAACAAAUAAGAAAAUAGAUAAAAUAUAUUAACAGGGGUAGAUACGUCAUUUUGAAAAAAAUCAGAACAGAUUGGACUAAAGACACAACAAAAUGAAAGUUUUGGACCACUGUUGCUAGUCCAAACCUUUUUGAACCAAAGUGAUAAUUUUCGACAUGCCACAAGGACCAUUUGUGCAGUUUUGUCUAAUUUAAAUGCUAUGUAUUUUUACGUUUUACAUAUUAUGUUCUAUUAUGUAAUUUCGAGAAGAUUUGAUUGAUUAUAUGUAUUUUGGUUUUAUAAAAAAACCUUGAAAAAAAUACAAAAAAAAUGAUAACAUUGAAAUUAAUGAGUGAUAUAACAUUUUUUUAACAUUGCGAUCAUAUUCUCAAUUGGUGUUAUGACACGACAAGUGAUGUGACAUGUGAGGUGACAGUGACACUAAAAUAGUGUUAGGAAAAUAGACUUAUUAGGGUACUUAACUUUUCGGUUUGUUCACAUCUGGGUAACUAUUUUUUUGUACACAUCUAGAUAACGAACUUUUUCGAAGUGUUCACAUAUGACCAUUAUGACUGGCUUUACAUCCGGUCAUAACCGGUCAUAAUAGGUAUAUGUGAACACUUCUAAAAUGUUCGUUACCUAGAUGUGUACAAAAAAAUAUAGUUAGCUGUUUUUUUACACAUCUAGGUAACAAAGUUUUUGGAAGUGCUCACAUAUGACUGGUUAUGACCGGAUAUACCCAGAUGUGUACCAAAAAAAUAGUUAUCCAGAUGUGAACAUACCGAAAAGGUAAGAGUAAAUUACACGAAUUGUCCCUGUGGUUUAGGUAAUUUGUGUGUUUGGUCCCUAACUUAUUUUUGUAACUCGGAUGAUCCCUACUAUUUAUUUUUGUUGUGCGUUUGGUCUCUGUCUUACCUAAAAAGACUACUGUGCCAUUUUUAAUUUAUUUUUUAAUUAACUCCCUUAACUCGGAUGAUCUAUACUGUUUAUUUUCUUAUUUAUGUGUACACUUCCUAUAUUUCCUUUCUGUCUGUAGUGACAUCGACGUCUUCACAAAAAAAAUAGUUGAGGAAAUAGAAGAGAUUGUGAAGAUGUCGAUGUCACUAAAGAUGAAAAGAAAAUUGAAGUUGAGGAGGAUGAGAUAUAGGAUGGUGACUGAUGGGACCCAAAUUAAAUUUCUCAAAUAUGGUUUUAUGUUUAGGAUGAGGAAAUACAUAUAUGUAGGGUUUAUUAAUUUUUUCUAAAUAUAUAAAAACUAAAUACAAAAAUAAGAAAAUUAAUUAAAAAUAAAUUAAAAAGGGCACAAUAGUCUUUUUAGGUAAGACAUGGACCAAACACACAACAAAAAUAAACAGUAGAGAUUAUCUGAGUUAAAAAAUAAGUUAUGGACCAAACACAAAAAUUACCCAAAGCACAUGGACCAUUCGUGUAAUUUACUUUUACCUUUUCGUUAUUUUCACACUUAGGUAACUAUUUUUUUGUACACAUCUAGAUAACUAUUUUUCUUGUACACAUUUGGAUAACAAAGUUUUUGGAAGUGUUCACAUAUGACCAUUAUGACUGGAUGUAACAUUUUGCAGUCGUUCAUAAUGGUCAUAUAUGAACACUUUCAUAAAGUUUGUUACCUAGAUGUGUACAAUAAAAAAAUAAUUACUCAGAUGUGAACAAACCGAAAAGUUAAUUACCUUAAUAAGUCUAUUUUCAAACAGUGUUAGAAUAUAUUGUAAAUACCCAAUGUUAUUUUAUAUAUAUAUAUAUAUAUAUAUAUAUAUAUACACACACACACACACAUGAUGUGACCUCGAGCUCUGCCUUGAUCGUUUUCCGGGAUGAACGACUCUGGUGAUCCUGCGUGGUCACAACAAGAGAGGCCGUCAAUCAUUUCCUUGGAAGAGCUUCUAAAGACACUCCGACGGUCAAGUCAGUGUGGUGUUUCUAGGGUUUAGUGAGUUAGGAUUUAGGUUAUGUUUAGUGGUAUAUACUAAUUUAUUUUCGAAUUUAUUGUAGUUAACUGUUUGUUGAGUAAAAAAACCAGCUAUCAUAUCUUAUAAAUUAAAUUGUAAAUUAUGUUUCUGAUAAAUUAUUUGAGUAAAUUGUGACAUGAAUGGUCCCUAUAGUUUGAGGUAAUUUGCACGUUUGGUUCUUAACUUACUUUUUUUAACUCGGAAGGUCGUUAUAGUUUAUUUUUGUUGUGCGUUUGGACCAUGUCUUACGUAAACAAACUAUUUUGCCUUUGAUUUUUUAAUUUAUUUAAAUAAGAUGGGUAGAUAAGGUAAGGUGAUGUGGAAGUGGGGUUAAGUGUGUGUUUAUUUAAAUAAAUUAAAAGAUCAAUGACGAAGUAAUAUUUUUAGGUAAGAAAUGACCAAACACACAACAAAAACAAACAGUAGGGACCCUCCGAGUUAAAAAAAUAAGUUAGAGAACAAACAUGCAAAUUAUCCCAAACCGUAACAACCAUUCGUGUAAAUUACUCAAAUUAUUUUUAAGCAAUUUAUUUAUAAAAUAACUUUAAACUAAAAUCUAUCCUUUCAAAUAUUAAGUCAAAUAUGUCUUUAAACAAAAAAGCUAACCCUCAUGGACUAGUGGCUACAAGGCUAACCAAUAACUUAACAAUGUCGACUUUCUUAUAAGCCACGUUCGGAUGAACCCUAAGAAAAGAACAUGAUAGGAUAGACGGGCAACGGUUUGCGUGACUGCGAAGUAACACGUUGCUAAAAAGAUAAAGUAACAUUUUAUGGACGUCAUGUUGAGAUAAUUAACAUUUGUUAAAAGUAACCUAUAAUUUCCUAUUAUUAAUGAGAAAAAAACUUUACAGUUUAAGGAAAUCCACAAUGCAUUAAAAUUAUUAGAGUUUAAUGAAUUGUCAUAUUAUUAUUUUACUCAUUAUAUAAUUCUAUAUUAUUUUUCCUACAAUACAUUAAACUCAAUAGAGUUCAAUAGAAUAUAUAUUUAAUAGUUAAAAUGAUUUUUUUCCCAUUGAAGAGUUCAAUGACCAUUAAACUCCAUAUCCAUUGAAUGUCAACAUAGCUUCCCAUAAUGAUAGAGUUUAAUCCAUUAAAUGUCAAUUACGCAUGUCACCUCAUUCAACUAUCUUAUUAAACUAUGCAUUGUGGAUACUCUAAAUAAAUGAUAAAAAAUCAUGUCUAUUAAUUUUUCGGUUACUAGAUAAUAAUAAUAAAAAAAAAAGCAAAGACGGAGAGUAAACCGAACCCUAACUUUUGUUUAUAAAAUAUUAUUUUUUUUUACUCUUUUUCCUAUUUAUCUUCUUACAAAUAUAAAAUAAUAAUAAGUGUCGAAAAUAUUAUUUAUUUAUCAAAAUAUGACAAUUCUCAUCAUUUUAUAUAGAUAAGGAGAUAAAUAAGAAGAAUAUGAGUUUCAUAUGUUGUGUGAUUAGAAUAAUAAAAGAGAAAAACUGAUGUAAUUGGGAUGUUCCUUGUUCAGAAUAUACUAAAUUGUCCAAUUGGAAAACUUAGAUAUGAUUAUUUAGUUUGAAUAUUUGGAUUUUUGGAUGAGUUUUCAAUAAAACCGAAUUAUUAGUUUAAAUUUCGGAUCGGAUACAUUUUAAAACUUAAAAUCGACUUGGUAGUUUGAUAAUUAAAAGGGAUACCUCGCCAGUAUGGGAUGAUUUGAAUAUAUAUUAACAAAAUAAAGUUAUUAGAGGAAGAUAUACAUAGAAUAAUUUACAAGAUACUAAAAUCAACUAUUUAAUGAAAAUGAUUAUGUUGUUUUAUUCCUAAAACCCCCGUAGGCGAGAUGGUGGUGGUUAAACUAUAUAUAUGUAUUUUAUACUUUGAGAUCUACACUGGAUGAAAGAUCUGAACUUCUUUCUUUUUAGAUCUAAACUUUCUUUUCAGAUCUAGACUGUAUAUGUAUUUUAUGCUUUGAAAGUUACGUUAGAUGAAAGAUUUAAACUUUGUUUUUCAGAUCUAGACCUUUUUCUUUAGAUUUGAACCAUAUGUAUAUUUUCUUUCCAGAUCUAAACUUUUUCUUCAGAUCUGAACCACAUAUGUAUUUUCUUUACAAAUCUAAACUUUUUCUUCAGAUCUGAACUGUAUAUGUAUUUUAUAUCUACGCAUAUGUUGGAUAGAACAUGGGUAGAUGAAAUAGUUGGUGUGUGAUGAGAAAUGAGUUGGAGGAUGAGAUGAAAAAGUGAUAUAAACCAUUAGAUGAGGGUGAGGGGUGAAAAUGAGAGAAACCAUUACCCAAAAGAUGGCCUCGUCAUCUAGCAGAAUAUGGAUGACAACCAUGGACUAUUCUAGACGGUCUGGGGAACACUAGCAGGCUCACUACAUGUAUGUGUUGUGAACAAUAUGUUCACUCGAUGUACUCUAAAAACUCAUUGACAUGUAUUGCAGGUGCACUCCUGCAAAUAAUAUAGUCGAUAAAUGAGAGCUAUGGACUUAGCACCCGUUGGAUGAACCCUGGAAACUAUGGAUUUAGUGCCUAUUGUAUAAACCCUGGCGACGAUGGACUUCGUGCCUAUUCCUUAGGAAAAGCCUUAGGAAUGAGUGAUAGAUGAUUCUUAAGAAAAUGGGGAUGGGUAAUUGGGUGAAUUGUUUGAUGUGAAACAUAAUAACUUUAUUAUUAUAGGUUGAAAACCCUGUAUACUCACCAGGUUUCCCAACCUAACCCACUCAUUUUAUUUGUAUCACAGGUGUCGAUAUAAAGCUACACUACACCGAGAGAUUAAAGAGAUGUAGAUCACUAGUGUAAUGAAUGUAAGUUAUGUUUAUGCUUACAUUUCUGUAUUGACGUUGACAUCCCAAAGUUUUAAAAUGAAUAAGAUACAUUUCCUCGGAAAUGCUCUGAUAACAUAUUUAUCAUGUUUUUCUGGGAAAAAAAAUUCCGCAACACUUUUCUUUAAAACGUUACUCUGAUUUUAUUAUAAAGCAUAAACAAAAUCGGUAUUUUCUGGCUGCAAAAAAUAAGGAUGUCACAGAAUUCUAGGUCGGGGAUAUGGUCCUCCUGAAGGUGUCACCUUGGAAAGGUGUCACCCACUUCAGGAAGCGGGGCAAGUUGGGUUCUAAGUACAUUGGUCCUUUCAAGGUUGCAGGCCGGGUAGGCAAGGUGGCAUAUAGGCUGGAUCUGCCAGGCAAGCUUAAUCAGAUCCACAAUACCUUUCAUGUCUCCCAGAUGUGGAAGUGCCUGGUAGAUGACUUCGCGAUGGUACCUCUAGAGGAUAUUCAGGUGGAUGACAGCCUGAACUACAUCGAGCGGCCGGUAGCCAUCCUCGACAGGAAGACAAAGGACCUAAGGAACAAGAAGGUCGAGUUGGUGAAGGCGCAAUGGCAGCACCGCAAGGGCUCGGAAUGGACCAGGGAACCAGAGGACGAGAUGAGGGAGCACUAACCCGAGCUAUUUCCAGAUGCAGCAGACUUCGAGGACGAAGUCUAGAAUAAGUGAGGGAGAUUUGUAACGCCUGGUUUCUGGUAUGUAUUUUAAUAAGGAAUUAUUCAUUUUUGCAAAGGGACUCGACGAUUUGGAGGUUCCAAACUCGUCGAGUAGGAAUUAGAUUUUUGGAUGUGGGACUUGAAGGCCAGAUCUAUGUUUUGGAUGCAUUAAGCCCGACAAAAAAUCGGUUGUAUGGAAUUAGACUUUGGGGACUUGACGAGUCAUUCUUAGGACUCGUCGAGUUGGGUCGUGUUUCCCCAACCUUUUAUGUUACUGAACAAACUUGUUGAGUCUGGAAGAGGACUCGACUAGUUGGACGUGUUUAUGGACUUAAGGAUCAAAGAACUCCACAAGUCCAAGGACGAACUUGGCGAGUUGAGAGCAAAAAGUCCCAACUGAUAUGAAGAGGAACUCGACAAGUUCAAGGAUGAACUCAGCGAGUUAUGAGUGAAAUACCCCGAAUCUGUAUGAAAAAGAACUCGAUGAGUCCAAGGAAGGACUCGACGAGUUGAAACGGAAAGUCCCAAAUCUGUCAUGAGAAACUCGACGAGUAGAUGGUAACUUGACGAGUUAGAUCACGAGUUCGAGAUUCUCUGAAGCGUGGAACUCGAGGAGUUUACGAACCAACUCGGCGAGUUGAGUCAGCCAUAAUGUUGACUUGGACCAGAAGGUUGACUUUGACUAGAGUGUUGACCUUUGAAUUGACCAUUGACCAGAGUUGACCCUUAAAGCGGUUAUAAGUUUGAUAUAGUAAUUAAAGAGAUGUUAUGUGUAGGAGUUCGAGGAGAGUUGGUCCCAGCACCGAGGACAAUUCAGCUGCUUCACGACAUUGAGUUGAGUUACCUUCCAGUAGAAGUGGGUCGAAGGCACCAAUGUCGGCCCACUAGUAAGAGUUAUAGUAGAGAUCAUUGUCUUUGUGAUAAUUAUUUGGUAUGUCAUACGUUAUGUGCUAGUAUGCCAUGAUGUUAUGGGAUAAUGGUAGGAGGGGUAGGAUAGACCCUAGUACCGGUCGAUAGGGCCGAAGGGGUAUGCCAACACCCGGAUAAGCUAGGCAGUAUAUGACUUAUAUGUUGACCCCAACUCGUCGAGUGCAUCCAAAAACUCGUCGAGUUCCUUCAGAGUCCAUAUAACAUAAAUCCCAAGUCAACUCGCCGAGUUACCUGAGUAACUCGUCGAGUUCCUUAAUGUCCAAAAGACCGAAAACUCAUGUCGACCGAAAACUCUAAUCCCUCACCGAAAUCACUCUGAAUACCGAAAACGGGUAAACCCUACCCAACUCGUCGAGUUAGCUAAGCAACUCGUCGAGUGCCUUCAGUCCUUUUUGUGUUCAGUCCUUUCCAGUGGAAUCCAUGGUUUCAAGUACAGAUCCAACCUCUUAUGGUGUAGUUACCACGUAAAUUUGCAAAUUUUACGUGCAUGCAAGGCCUCCAUAGGCUAAAACACUAAAACCAAGGUUUCUACAAGGUUUAGUGCAUUGAAAAGAGCCUAAAAUGGAUAAAAUGGACAACUUUAUGUCCAUGAGGGUCUAGAGGUGUUUAGAUCUGGAAUCAUAUCCUCAUGACAAGUCCAAAUCCGAGUAUAACAUCAUUUUGCCCCAAAAGUGACCAUAUUCUUUCCUAAAAUGAGAUCGAAACAAAUAAAGGUCAAGGUAGCAACUUUAUACCUCAAGAUGGUUGCUAAUACAGAUUAGAUGUUGGAUCUACUGCUCCUCUCCCUACUCCACCUUCUUCAAGAUUCAAAGUCCUUCACAGCCACACCAAAAUCACUCACCAAGGCUCACACACACACACACUUAAGAAGGUAUAAGGCUCAAACUAGGGUUUCUCUGGGUAGUUAGGACGGUGAGGGAGGCCACCAAUGGUCCAUAAGUUCUUUCAAUAGGGUGCAAACCCCUGAAAAUUAGGGUUUUCCUUUACAGUGCCUACUCGUCGAUUUGGGGCCUUUCAACUCGUCAAGUAGGUUCUAAGUCCCGCGUCCUCAUAAAUGAUCUCUACUCAACGAGUUGGAGCUCCGCAACUCGUCGAGUUCCAACCUAAAACCCUAAAAUUCUGAAAGUAAUUCGAUACCCGAAACUAGUGUUACAUUAUGAUUUUCAGCCUCAUCAACCCAUAAAAGAAAUCCACGCCUAGGUCCUUGCAGAUUUCAAUAAUCAUCAUUUACCAAAAAAAAAACCCAAAUGUUGUCGAUGUUAGAAUAAGAAUGGAGUAAAAUAUUUGGGCAAGCAUAGUACUCUCUACUAGGAUUCCUCUUAGUAGUGGAUGUCCUUAUGAUUGCCAUGCUUCCAUAAUCGCACAUCACCAUCUUUUCUUGUUGGAUGAGAAGAAGUAAGAAGGAGAUAAAGAUCUUAUGUAGAAGAAGAAACAGAGAAAGUGAAGGAAGAAGAACUAGUUAAAUGGACAAGAACUAGUCAAAUCCAAGAAUAGAAAGCAUGGACUGGUCAAAUGGGUUUUAGAUGGCCGACUGACCCCUUCAAUUUUUACAAAAGGACCUAUGCGACCCAACAAAGCCAACUUUGUUCCCUUAAAACAUGGGAAAUAACAUAAGGGACUGAAUGGGGAAAUGUGAAAUACAUUGUAGGGCUACAAUUUCAUUUUCCCUUAGAAUGUGAUACAAUUAUUAAUAUACUUAAUUACAUUAAAAAGUCUAGUUCUUUUCCAAAUGUAUAUGUUACUUAUAAGGUUAUGUUAAACUAUUCCUGUAACAGUUGUCUCUGUAGAAAAAAUAUUUUUCUUAAUUAAAUUUGUUAAAAAAUACUUAAGAUCUAUAAUAUUAAAAGAAAGAUUAAAAAUAUUAGCUAUUUUGUGAAUUGAAAUACAUUUAGCAAAAAAAAAAAUUGAUUAUGAAAAUUUUAUUAACGAAUCUGCAUCUAAAAAGUUAGAAAAAUUAACUUAUGAGAUUUUUAUCAAAAAAUGUGCAUCUAAAAAGGAUAGCAAAAUGAAUUUAAUGUCUUAAAUAAUAAUAAUAAUAAUAAUAAUAAUAAUAAUAAUAAUAAUAAUAAUAACAACAACAACAACUAGAAAUGAGGCCUGUGCGUUGCACGGGUUGAAUAUUUUUAUUGAUGUUUGGUGGGUUAUGAAAGUAGGAUGUUAUAAUGUCAUUUAAAUAUAAAACAACCAGAUAGAUCAAAUACAGUUUCGUCUCUUAAUAGUGGCCAAUGAGCAAUGGGGAUUCCCACCUUUUCUAUUGUUGGAGAUGAUCCUGAAAAAACAAAAAAACUUCAACAUUGACUUUCAAACUUAUAAUAAAUAAUAAUUAAAUAUUUGAAAUUGUCUGUUAUUUGUAAUUAAUUUUUGUAAUAACAAAAAAAAUGUCACAACUUUAUAUAAAAACAAAAUUGUAUCCGGAAAAAAGGAAAACCAUGAAUGAAAAGUAGAAAAUAAAGAAAAAGAAAGAAAAAUAUUUACGUCAAAGACAUACCGGAAAUAGUAUUCCUAUGCUCAUAUUCACCUGAAAUAAUUAUAUAUAGAUAUAAGAAGUAAUGAUUAUUAACACCACAUAAAAUUAUUGCAUAAUAAACGAUUAAAAAAAACUCACACGGUCCAUAUUGCAUAGCAGAAAUGCAGAAAAGCAAAUAACUACUAUCACCCAACGCUUUGAAAACCGAUUUGUUUCUUGUAUUACUCCAACUAAAACAUCAUAGCCUCACUUGCUCCUCCUUCUGAUGAUACUACAAUUGAAUCCAAAUCUGUUCCUGUCACAUCAUACUCCUCAGAUAGUAUCAUUUAUGAUGUGACAGUGUAUUCAAAUCUGUUCCUUCUGAUGAUACUAUAAAUCUGUCGUGGUUGCAGGGGCUGCCUAUUAAAUAUACUGUUAUGUUUUAGCUGUUUCGGUUUAAUCCGAUUGCAUCUUGCAAUUCAUUUAUGAUUUCUGAUUUGGAACUUUUUGCUUUCUUGUGGUAUCAUUGAAAGAUGAACACCAUGGGAAGAUAUGAAUUCCAAUUCCGGUCAUAUCCAUUGACGUAAAAANNNNNNNNNNNNNNNNNNNNNNNNNNNNNNNNNNNNNNNNNNNNNNNNNNNNNNNNNNNNNNNNNNNNNNNNNNNNNNNNNNNNNNNNNNNNNNNNNNNNNNNNNNNNNNNNNNNNNNNNNNNNNNNNNNNNNNNNNNNNNNNNNNNNNNNNNNNNNNNNNNNNNNNNNNNNNNNNNNNNNNNNNNNNNNNNNNNNNNNNNNNNNNNNNNNNNNNNNNNNNNNNNNNNNNNNNNNNNNNNNNNNNNNNNNNNNNNNNNNNNNNNNNNNNNNNNNNNNNNNNNNNNNNNNNNNNNNNNNNNNNNNNNNNNNNNNNNNNNNNNNNNNNNNNNNNNNNNNNNNNNNNNNNNNNNNNNNNNNNNNNNNNNNNNNNNNNNNNNNNNNNNNNNNNNNNNNNNNNNNNNNNNNNNNNNNNNNNNNNNNNNNNNNNNNNNNNNNNNNNNNNNNNNNNNNNNNNNNNNNNNNNNNNNNNNNNNNNNNNNNNNNNNNNNNNNNNNNNNNNNNNNNNNNNNNNNNNNNNNNNNNNNNNNNNNNNNNNNNNNNNNNNNNNNNNNNNNNNNNNNNNNNNNNNNNNNNNNNNNNNNNNNNNNNNNNNNNNNNNNNNNNNNNNNNNNNNNNNNNNNNNNNNNNNNNNNNNNNNNNNNNNNNNNNNNNNNNNNNNNNNNNNNNNNNNNNNNNNNNNNNNNNNNNNNNNNNNNNNNNNNNNNNNNNNNNNNNNNNNNNNNNNNNNNNNNNNNNNNNNNNNNNNNNNNNNNNNNNNNNNNNNNNNNNNNNNNNNNNNNNNNNNNNNNNNNNNNNNNNNNNNNNNNNNNNNNNNNNNNNNNNNNNNNNNNNNNNNNNNNNNNNNNNNNNNNNNNNNNNNNNNNNNNNNNNNNNNNNNNNNNNNNNNNNNNNNNNNNNNNNNNNNNNNNNNNNNNNNNNNNNNNNNNNNNNNNNNNNNNNNNNNNNNNNNNNNNNNNNNNNNNNNNNNNNNNNNNNNNNNNNNNNNNNNNNNNNNNNNNNNNNNNNNNNNNNNNNNNNNNNNNNNNNNNNNNNNNNNNNNNNNNNNNNNNNNNNNNNNNNNNNNNNNNNNNNNNNNNNNNNNNNNNNNNNNNNNNNNNNNNNNNNNNNNNNNNNNNNNNNNNNNNNNNNNNNNNNNNNNNNNNNNNNNNNNNNNNNNNNNNNNNNNNNNNNNNNNNNNNNNNNNNNNNNNNNNNNNNNNNNNNNNNNNNNNNNNNNNNNNNNNNNNNNNNNNNNNNNNNNNNNNNNNNNNNNNNNNNNNNNNNNNNNNNNNNNNNNNNNNNNNNNNNNNNNNNNNNNNNNNNNNNNNNNNNNNNNNNNNNNNNNNNNNNNNNNNNNNNNNNNNNNNNNNNNNNNNNNNNNNNNNNNNNNNNNNNNNNNNNNNNNNNNNNNNNNNNNNNNNNNNNNNNNNNNNNNNNNNNNNNNNNNNNNNNNNNNNNUGCCCAAGGAAUGGUUUAUGUGAUAGUUUAUACUUGUUGUCUGUGUGAUACUUGUAUGUGCCUGGUAGGGAGGUGAGUGUGGGCGAGGUCCCGUAUCUCACCAAUAGCAGAGUGUGGAUGGUGUUCCACAUCUCAUUAGCAGCAGAACAGGGGCGAGGCCCAAGUUAGGGAAGGAGUGAGUGUGGGUUGGGCCCGUAUCUCACUAUCAGCAGGAGCAUGGACGGGGUUCCAUGACUCAUCAGUAGCAGGACAAGGGCGAGGCCCAGGAUAGGCAGGGCCUUAGGACAGGAUCCGUUAGCAUGUUUUUAGUUUAUGAGUUGCGAUAUGUUUAUAUGCUAUUAUAUGUUAGUGGGUGGGGCCCAGUGACAGGCAAGGCCUAAGUGAAACAGAUCUGUAUACGAGCGGGGCUCGAAGCCAGGCGGGGCCUGGAGCGGCUGGGCCGUUGUAGCGGGCGAGGCCCGAGGCAGGGGGCGAGGCCCAGGAUAACGGGCGUGGCCCAAUAUGUGCAGUAUGUGGUUAUGCAUGGUAUGUGGUAGGGUGGGGAACUCACUAAGCUUCGUGCUUACGGUUUUCAGUUUUGGUUUCAGGUACUUCCGGUAGCGGAGGGAAGAGCUCGAGGUGAUCGCAUGACGCACACCAUAGAUUAGACAGCCCGGGGAUGAUUUACUCUGAUAAUGAACAUGUGUUUUGGAAAUUAAUACUCUGAUUAUGUUUCGGAUUGAUGAAUUUGCUUUAAGUAAUGUUUUAUUAAAAGAAAUUUUUUAGUCUUAAAUUUUGGGACAUUACAAGUUGGUAUCAGAGCCUUGGUUUGAGGGAUUCGGACAUAUCCUCGGGUGUGUCUGAACUCAAAUUAAGGGAUUGGAUAAAAGUUUUCAAAAUGAAAGGACAAGUUUUGUAAAAAGAGUUUUAGAAAUGAAACAGUUUUAGAAAAGCGAAAAGAAUUCAGAAUGAAAAGAAUUUUGAUAAGAGAAAAGGGUGUGGUGCAUGCAAUCAGCUGAGCUCAAGUAAGUACCCCAAAAUACCCAUACAAGUUUAUGUUAUGAUUAUCAGUUAGUAGAACAACAUGCUAGAUUAGGACUAAGGAUCUAGGGAGGAUGCCUUAUGUGCCUGUUAUAUGUGCUUUGAGCUACAUGGUAGUGCUGAUUAGACAGUAGUAGGAUAGCCUGUUUAGGUUAUGCCUGAGUUUAUGAGUUUGUGUUGCAUGCCAGUACAAAUUCUUGCUACGUGGAUAUGAUUGCUUGAGUAUGUUAUGGUUAGAUUUUCCUUUGUCUGAAUGCUGCUUNAAUAUGGGAUUCCGAGUGAUGGGAGUUAGCCAUUAGGUGGAUACGUCACGUCACACGUGAUCAGGGUUGAAUAAUCUUAGAGUGCUGGAUUUGGCCCUAUUUCGCAGCUCUUGUUUGAGUCCAACCGUUGUAGGGCGAAGGAUUAUCAGAGCCUCGUCACAUGUGAUGGUAUCCAGGUAAUGGCUAAUUGGCAUCACAAGGAGACCUUCAGCAGCUGAGGACUGGUUUGAGUUGAGUCAGAGGUUUCCCUAGGGAAAGCCUAGGAUGAGGUAAUGUUGGGAGCAGUAGUAGUGGAAAAGGGACCUGGUGGAGUCGAAGCAGUUCUUGAGGAAAGUACGAAUAGAUGUGGAAGGUAGUAUGGGCCCGUACUACUGAAAGCAGAGGAUCCGUACUCGAUUCAAGAAAGGCCGAGGUGAGACCGGGGAACUUGUAGUGUGUGUAUAUGAUCCCUCAGCAAUGAUGAGUGUUCUUAUGGUAUUGCGAUAUGUUUUCAGCAUGGUGACGUUGCGAGAGAGACUAGUGGGCGGAUCAGGCACCAGAGAGAGAUCAGGCUCGGGUUCAGGAGCCGAGCAGCUCGAGGAGCGAAUGAGGGAGUUGAUAUCCGUGGAGAUUACGCGCAGUAUUCUAGAUCAGACUCCUGUGAUCUUUGGCACGGUCAAGGAGGGUAUAUUGGAAAUUUUGGAUGAGAGCCUGGGAGCCUUCCGUACCGAGAUGAUGGCUUUGAUGGGAGCGCGUACCUUGACAUUUCGAUAGUUCAGGGCUUGCGGGGCACCAGAUUAUCAUGGGGCUAGGGACCCCAUUGCCAGCAGCAGAUGGUUGGCUGAUGUUGCCAACGCAUUCCGUAUAAGCCGGUGUCCUGAGGGGGACAAGGUCAGACUCACUUCCUGUCUUCUGAAGGACAAAGCGAGGGAUUGGUGGGAAGAGAUCGGUCAUGCUUUGGGGGAUGAUGCCGCGUUAGACGCGAUGACAUGGAGCGAUUUCUCGGCCAGGUUCAGGGCGGAGUUUUCGCCAAUUAUUGAGGUGCAGCAGUUGGCACGGGAGUUUCAGGAUUUGACGCAGACCACUGAGACUGUGGCGGAGAUCACUGCCAAGUUCAGGGAGACGGCUCUUCUUGUACCGCAGUAUGUCGCGGAUGAGGAGAUGAAUAAGGCCCGAUACCAUGAGAUGUUGAGGGAUCACAUCAGGCAGUUUGUGAGCAGGUCCAGCUGCAAAACGUUAGAGGAUAUGAUCGCUCGGGCUAGAGAGAGGGAAAUUGAUUUAGAGCAAAUCCGGAAGAGGAAGCCGGAUGAGGCUCAGGUAGCCACAGGUUCGGGCAAAAGGCCCAAGGGAACAAAUUCGAGAACGAGGGAUUAUCAGGACCGCAAACGGUGCGGGAAGUGUAGCAGGGCGCACGGGGGCACGUGUAGGAGUGGUAGCGGUGGCGAGUCUGGCUGCUUCAAGUGCGGUCGGACUGGUCAUUUUAGCAGGGAUUGUACUGUUACUACCACACAGGGAUCAGACUUGAUAUGUUUUCACUGCAAUCAGCGGGGCCACAAGAAGGCCCAGUGCCCCAGUUUGUUUUCUGCAGGACGGGUGAUGGCACCUGCCCCUGCAACUUUGAGGAUCACAGACGGCCGUCAGGGUCGUGCAGAGGCGCCUGCGGUAGGAGGCAGGGCUUUUCAGAUUACUGCCUUGGAGGCGUGAGCAACAUCGGACGUUGCAGGUAUGCGAUUUCUGUUUUCAGUUCUUUUAUUUGUGCAUGAUUAUAUUGUUAUGGUUCUGCAUCAUUAUCGGUAUGAGUAUUUUAUUUUUGUGCGGCUUGAUCGUGAUCGAGUUAUAUGCCAUUUGCAUACCUUGGAUAUUUGAAUGGUAGUUAAGGGAUGGGCUCUAUUUGAGAAGGUUACUUAGGAUGCAGUAACUGUAGCAUGCCUGGGAGGGACUUGGUAUGUCUCGCUAGUUUGGAGCCGUAUAGUUUUAGAAAUGGAUUGGUUAGAUCCCUAGCUAUGGUAAGCUUGGGGUUCCUUAGCAUAUUAAUUAUGGGAUGGUAGCAAGGAUUGGGAUUUCUUUUUGAGCAUUGAGCAGCAAGGGGUAAGCAGGAUCGAAGUGGGGGAGAAUCCUCCGAGUGUACAAGGGCAAGAGCACCCAGAUCCUGAAUGAGUGCACGAUCUCUGAGAAGGAAAAAAAAGUAGUAUAACGUUUGAUGGAUUGAGGAGUUCAGGGUUGGGAGUUUGAGAAACUCCCCAUCAGCUAGUGCAUGUAAUGGUGAUGGUUAGUACGUGGUUGGGAAUUCAGGUUGGUGGAUCGCCUGUAGGACUCAAGAGAGUCAGAAUGAGGAUCUUGAGAACUGAUAGCACGGGGUGCUUUCGUAUUAGUAGUCAGUGGUAGAAAGUGUUGUAAGACUACGGGGCAGCCGUAGCAUUCACUAGCAGUCAGUGAUGGAAGGUGAUGUAAGACUGCGGGUAAGCCGUAGCAUUUCAUAGUAGCUUCGUUAGCGGAGUUGGGGCGAGGCCCUUAUCUCCUAGUGAUCAGAAAGGGAUCAGGAAUGGGUAGUGGAUGAGAAUGAUAGGGAGUUUGCCUAUAUAGCCCCAGAGAGGUGAGACCUUGGGAGAGGCCACUCCAGGAUAUUGUUGGGUGAGACCCGUGGGCGAGGCCCGUAUGAGAGUAGAAGUAUAGGUGAGACCUAAGAGCAGGGUUUCUCAGUAGUAUGGUUGGGUGAGACCCGUGGGCGAGGCCCGAGCGAGAGUGGUUAGACAAGUAGGACUAGAAGGAUGGAGGCGGGUGAGACCCAUGGGCGAGGCAUGUGGAUUUUAGCAGCACAGGUGGGACCUGGUAGGGACCUUAGUGUCAAGAUAGGGGAUCGAGGAUCCCAGGAUUGUAGUGCCUAAAUGGCAGAAUAGAUUGAGCAGUUAUAGGUGGUCGAAGCUUCUUCGAAAGUCGCUGGGAGCGACUAGGAGUUGUGUUAGGACUAGCGAUCGGUGGGAGUCGGUAAUCCAGAUAUCGUUAGGUUGGUAGGGACUAGGGUGGUCUCAGUUCAUCCGGAAGGCAGAUAAGGAAUAACAUAAAUUUUCAUUCAGUAGCAGUGCGGGUAAGCAGUCUAUGGUGGAAUCCAGUUAGUUGAUCGUGGGGUGCUCGACACCAAAUUAUAGUAGAAAGAAAUGCCCAGUGGAUACUGGCGAUAAUGACCCGUACUGGAGGUAGCGGGAGUAAUGGAUUUGGUGAAGUUAUGAUCUUCACAGUGACAGAGGAAAUAGUUGGUUAUGGAGCAUCGCCUUGGGAAGGCAAGGAAAUCAUGCAAGAAAGGAAGGGCUGAACCCCUAUGGGGUCAGUGCAGUUAGGGUGCAAACGAGCCGAGCCGAGCCCGAGCCUGGCCAGGCUCGGCUCGGGCUCGUUUAAGUUAUAUGAGGCUCGAGCUCGAGCUCGGCUCGAUUCGAUCUUUCUUGUACUGAGCUCGGCUCGAGCUCGUAAAAAAUUAUCCAAGCUCGGCUCGGGCUCGGGCUCGAAUCGUUUUUUAUCUGGCGUGCCUAAAUAAGCUUAAGCUCGGCUCGAGCUUGUUAAGAAGCUCGUUUACAAAUAUCCUAAAUCCGUAAUUCCUCUAAUAUAUUUUUAUUUCAAUAUAUAUAUAAAUAAUAAUAUAUUAUAUUAUGUAAAGGCUCGUUUAGGCUCGCGAGCCUAAUCGAGCUUAAUGACAUAGGCUCGAGCUCGAGCUCGUUUAAUAAACGAGCUUAAUAUUAAGCUCGAGCUCGGCUCGGGCUCGUUUAAAAUCGAUUUUGAGUCGAGCUUUUAACGAUCCGAUCUCGAGUAGCUCGCGAGUAGCUUGACUCGUUUGCNNNNNNNNNNNNNNNNNNNNNNNNNNNNNNNNNNNNNNNNNNNNNNNNNNAACAUGGGAAGUGGCAUCAGAUUUGUUCCGAGUCUUGACAAGUGUCGUCGGAUAUCCAAACUAUAUAUAUAUAUAUAUAUAUAUAUAUAUAUAUAUGAAAGAAAAUGAAGAAACAAUUGCUUUAUAUAUGUGAUUGUGAAACUAACCUGUGAAUGAACCAUUGUUUAUGCUGCAUGUAUCAUAAACAAAUUAUUAGAGUUAUGUAAUAUGAUUAAUAACCCCAAAUUAUUAAAAAAAAUAAUAAAAAAAAAACAAAAAAAACAUACAAUUAAAUCUUAAAUGUUUUUGUAACACCCAAAGUCAGGAAGGCCAAGAAAGGAAAGAAAACCCUAAUUUUAAGGGACGACUCGUCGAGUCCAAUGAGGAACUCGGCGAGUCCGAGCGGGAUCCGGGUCAAGGAGUAAGUGACCGACUCAGCGAGUCGGCCAAGGANUCAGGGUCAGGGUUGACCCGAGAUUAUUAUCCGCAAGGAUUAAUGUUAGUCGGAAUAACCGGGCGAAGGACCAGCGAAGGUAGGCAGCUGAUAUUGGAUCAAUUAGUAGAGUAUUGGAAGCAGAUCGCAAGCGGUUGGCCAUAGCAAACUUAGAGGACAAAGUUUAGUUUAAGUGGUGGAGAGUUGUAACACCCAAAGUCGGGAAGGCCAAGAAAGGAAAGAAAACCCUAAUUUUAAGGGACGACUCGUCAAGUCCAAUGAGGAACUCGGCGAGUCCGAGCGAGAUCCGGGUCAAGGAGUAAGUGACCGACUCGGCGAGUCGGCCAAGGAGACUCGGCAAGUCUCGUCUGAACGAAGAAAACCCUAAAUCCGGGACUUGGAGCCUAUUUAAACGUCUCAUUCUCUCCCCUAGGGCUCCUUUACUGCCUCCCUCACCCAAAACACCAAACCCUAAGCCCCAUUGUUGCUCAUUCAAGCUUCCAAGCCAUUUUUGGGAGAUUUGAAGGAAGAAGAAAGAGGGAAAUCAUUGAAGCUUCAAGGAUUGGCCUUAGAUCUGGAGUUUGUGGAACCUUUCUGAGUUAUUGAAGGUACUAAGUCGUUUCCUUCAUUUAGAUCUAUUCUAGUUGUGAGUUUUGGGGCUUUUUAAGCCAUGUUUAGAUAUCCCUUUGAGUUAGAAGCCAGAUCUGAAGUUGCUACUUCGGAUCUAAGCACAUUUUGGCCUUGUGAAGCAUAAAGUAUCUGCCCUUGAGUUGAUUAUAGAGCCUCCUUGCCUUAAACCCUAGUUCAUGGUGUAUUUAGCCUAGAUCUCCUUCUCUACACGUAAAGUUUGCAACUUUACGUGAGGAAUAGGCUUGGGAAGGGUAGAUCUACAGUUUGGAUUCCAUGCAUGACUCAAAAGCCCUCUGCAUGUAUGAAGAUAUGAAUGGACUCGGUGAGUCCUUUGAGUGGACUCGGCAAGUAGCAUGAAGAUUAGGAGGAACUCGACGAGUGGGAUGAACAACUCGUCGAGUCGGUUGAAGAUUGCCUUGGACUCGGCGAGUCAGGUCACGAAACCCCAAACCCUACGAGUUGAGACUCGAAUCAGCAAGUUGAGUGGAGACUCAGUGAGUUGGUCUGGUCGGGACUCGGAAAUCGGUAGACUCAGCGAGUCAUGGACUGACUCGGCGAGUCGAGUCGCAAAUGGAAGGACUUUGAGCAUAUGAACUCGGGGAGUCAGUAGGUAGACUCGGCGAGUAGGGUUGACCUGGAAGGUUGACCUUGACCAGGACUUUGGCUUUGGCCAGAGUUGACUUGGUUGACUUUUGAGAAGCCGGUUACGCUACGUGUUGUAUUGAUAUUGGUAGCUCGGGAAGCUAGCGGAGCAACGGUUCAGAGAAUUGUGGGUCAACAUCCAGAAGGUUAUCAGCAAGUUCAGCAGUUCGAGGUGAGUUUCCCUUUGUGUGAAUGGGUCUAAGGCCACAAUGCCGGCCCAUGUAGUUAUGAGUAGAAGACCCGGGGGUUAGCCCUAGGCACAGUAUGCUAGUAUGAUAUUCAGGACGAGGUCCAAUGAUAGCGGGCGGGGGCCCAAGGAAUGGUUUAUAUGAUAGUUUAUACUUGUUGUCUGUGUGAUACUUGUAUGUGCCUGGUAGGGAGGUGAGUGUGGGCGAGGUCCCGUACCUCACCAAUAGCAGAGUGUUGAUGGUGUUCCACAUCUCAUUAGCAGCAGAACAGGGGCGAGGCCCAAGUUAGGGAAGGAGUGAGUGUGGGCUGGGCCCGUAUCACACUAUCAGCAGGAGCAUGGAUGGGGUUCCAUGACUCAUCAGUAGUAGGACAAGGGCGAGGCCUAGGAUAGGCGGGGCCUUAGGACAGGAUCCGUUAGCAUGUGUUUAGUUUAUGAGUUGCGAUAUGUUUAUAUGCUAUUAUAUGUUAGCGGGUGGGGCCCAGUGACAGGCGAGGCCUAAGUGAAACAGAUCUGUAUCCGAGCGGGGCUCGAAGCCAGGCGGGGCCUGGAGCGGUGGGGCCGUUGUAGCGGGCGAAGCCCGAGGUAGGGGGNUAGCGGGCGAGGCCCGAGGCAGGGGGCGAGGCCCAGGAUAGCGGGCGUGGCCCAAUAUGUGCAGUAUGUGGUUAUGCAUGGUAUGUGGUAGGGUGGGGAACUCACUAAGCUUUGUGCUUACGGUUUUCAGUUUUGGUUUCAGGUACUUCCGGUAGCGGAGGGAAGAGCUCGAGGUGAUCGCAUGGCACACACCAUAGAUUAGACAGCCCGGGGAUGAUUUACUCUGAUAAUGAACAUGUGUUUUGGAAAUUAAUACUCUGAUUAUGUUUCGGAUUGAUGAAUUUGCUUUAAGUAAUGUUUUAUUAAAAGAAAUUUUUUAGUCUUAAAUUUUGGGACGUUACAGUUUUCCAAAUUGGAAGCUUUUCCUCUGAAUCUACUUGCAAAUUGGAUGGCUGGAGAAACAUAAUUCAAGUUCUAAACGGACUGUCAAUGGCAAUUAUUUAGAGAUUCAAAAAUUACAAAAUUAUUUAGUGAUAAUGCUUAAAAUAUGUAUAUAAAGGCUAAACAAAUAGGGCAUUUAGGAUACCUUUGCUGUACAAAUUAAUGAAUUAAGUUGAGAAGGGCAUAACAGUAGCAAGCAAUUGAGCCUAUGAGAAAACAUAGUGUCAAUAUCAGUUUUAAUUCUCAUUAAAAGAAGACAAAUAGAAGAAAUAAGUCGCACCUUUUCAUUUCACUUAUUUGCUUUUUGAAGUCACAGGUAGGUGUUUAUUGUUGAUGUAAGGAAGGAGCUUAAAUACCUGUAAAAUCAAAGUCCAUGUCAUCACUAUCUCAUACCAAUAAUGUCAAAUAAAAAUAGUGGAGACUACCUUAUCCAAGUUUCUUCGUUUGCCUCAUCGCUCAGCUUCUCCCUGCCCCCUUUUUCAGGAUAUUGUGACAGUAAAAUCACACAACCAACCACAAUUUUAUUACAAAAAACCUCAAAUGCCUGUUUUAGGGCCUAAAGGAAAAAAAAAAUACGGUAAUUUUUUUUCGUAAUGAAUACUGAAAUAAACAACAUGAUAAAAAAGACAAAACUGACCUUGUGAAAUAAUGUAUGAUUCAUGAAGCAAUCUGUAACAUAUGUAAUAAAGUUGGCAUGCAACUCCAUUAUUUUCCUUACAAACAAAGAAAAAAUCAACCAUGUUUAUAUAACUCAUUUCUUGGGUAAUCAAUAACCUCUGUGUCAUGUUUUGUUGGUUUGGAGGUUUCAUAUACUUGAUUAACAAACUAAAAACUGCCAUUAACCUGAUAUUGACACAAAAUAGACAAUUAAGUGUUUAAAACUAAUAUCCAAUACUUCCAAAUUACCUAAAAAGGCAAUAUAAUAUGAAGGUUCUAGUAUAGAGAUUUGUAGAAAGUUUGACAUAUUUACCCUUGCUUUCUAGAACUUGGACCUUAACUCAAAACGACAGCCAUAAACUUGGACCUUAACUCAAAACGACAGCCAUAAAUCCUUAACUAUAUCGGGAUAGAAACUUGUACCUUAACUCAAAACGAAAGCCAUAAAGCAGAAGACAAAGUCAAUUAGGAACAGAGUCUUCAUUUCCAAGCAUAAUCAUAAAUCCUUGGGAAGACCCACUCUUCUUCGAUUAACCAAACUACAAAGUCAAUAUUUCCGGGUCAGUUGUGUGGAUGUCUUGAAGCGAUUUUGUCAAACAUGUAACAGCAAGAAGUAGACUUAGAAUAAACCUCAAAAAAUCAAAAAGUUUUGUGAAUAAAAAAUUGAAGGAAAUCCAAAAUCUAAAUUAAUAUAGAUAGAGAGAAAAUACGUACCUAUGAACAAAGUCGAUCAAUUUCUUUCUGAAUCCCAUAAACAGCUGAAAAAUCUACAUAAAUCAAAAACAAAAAAGAAAAGGUUACGGAAAACUCCAUUCACAAUCUACAUCAAUAUUUUCUAGGUUUUUCUUGAAGAUCAAUUGAGUUUAGGCGGUGAGUCUCAAGUAACACCGACUCCAAACAGGCGGAAUUGGAGGGUCCAAACCAUCUACUAUUCAUCGAGGGUGGGUGGGUCGUGCGGUGGGAAUAACUCUUCUUCGCUUCAUAUUCCUCAUCCUCCUCAUCCCCUUCCACCGGGAGAAUCGGUGCAGGUGGUGUCGGUGCCGGUGGCGCCGCAGCUUCAGAAGAUGAUUGUCGCAUAGAGGGAGAAGGUGCAUAUAGUGAAACCAAAUUAACAUGAAACCUUACAAACUUCGGUUGUAUUGGAUACAACCAAUCGAUAGAAAAGUUGAAAAACAAUUAGAAACCAUAGAAUCGUGUGUCUCACAAAUCCGAAGCCAAUAUAGAAACAGAAGAUUCUUCAUCUACCUUUUUUGUUAUCAGAUCGGAACAUCCAAGACCCAUCUCAUCCUAAUCUCUGCAUCAGACUCAUCUUCUCUUCUCACAGUCGUCGGAAACCCACACAGAACAACCACGACCAACAAAUCAAACAAAUCCUAUCUAUAAAAAAGCAAAAUGGACAGUCAAUUUAGGGCAUGAAAUCGUUGAAGGAAUGUAGAUAACUGAAACCUGAGUAUUUCUUUGAUGGAAAAUCAAGGCGGUGGAUUGGAUGGGGGUGGCGAUGAAGGUUAUCCGAGGAAAGAAGAAAAAGAUAUUGGAUAAGUAGCCGGUGGGAAGGAUCCGGAAGCCGAUAAAUCGACAACAAUUGUAAUAUAUACAAAAAUACAGGGACCGUAAUGUAACUAAAGAGACCAAUUCUGCCAAAUAAAUGGACAGUUUACUGUUCUUUUUCUUCACAACUUUAAUAUAUAAUAAUAAUAAUAAUAAUAAUAAUAAUAAUAACUAGAAAGGUUACCCCCGCUACGCGGGGGCCAGAAGCUUUCGAUGUUGUUUCCGAAUCGAUAAAUAUGACAGACGUAGAAAGUGCAAGGAUUAAAAGCCCGGGCUUUGCCUCGGACCGUUUUUUUCAUGUUUUUAUGAAAAAAUGUAAGAGUUUUGGCUGCAAGGACCAGAAGUGUCAAAAUGGAUAAAAAAAUUAAAGGGGUAAGAAUUAGCAAGAUUUUAGAAAAGGGGUUAAAGCUGUCAAACCGUUAAAGUUUUGUGGCAAACUUUAAAUAUUAAAAGGUUCCUAAAAAGUGUAAAAGUAUUGAUUACAAGGACAAAAAGUGUAAAAAUGGCUAAAGAAUGAGGAGCAAAGUUGACAAAAAAAACAUCCAAAUUUACUAUUCCUAACUUUGAAGCCUAACAAUAGUACAGAGACCAACUCUGCCAAAAAAAUGGUAACUUCACAAUUCCUAAGAUUCAUAUCUUUAAUAUAUGAGUAAAUUACACGAAUGAUCCCUAUGCUUUGGGGUAAUUUGUGCGCUUGGUCCCUAACUUAUUUUUUUUAACUCGGAAUGUCCUUAUUAUUUGUUUUUUGUUACGCGCUUGGUCUCUAUCUUACCUAAAAAGACUACUAUUUAAAUAGGAAAAAAUAGUGGGGUAUGUAAGGUAAGGUGAAGGGGUGGGGUUGGAGUGUGUUUAUUUAAAUAAAUUAAAAAAAUCAAGGGCAAAAUAGUCUUUUUACGUAAGACAGAGACCAAAUGUGUAACAAAAACAAACAGUGGGGACCCUCCGAGUUAAAAAAAUAAGUUAGGGACCAAACACGCAAAUGACCCCAAACCAUAGGGACCAUUUGUGUAAUUUACUCUCUCUCUCUCUCUCUCUCUCUCUCUAACAANNNNNNNNNNNNNNNNNNNNNNNNNNNNNNNNNNNNNNNNNNNNNNNNNNNNNNNNNNNNNNNNNNNNNNNUACGUGAUUUAUAAACUUUUUGGUUUAUUAUUGUCGGUCCCAAACCCGGAUAAAGAAUAAGUGUUUAUAAUAUUAAGUAUAAUAAAUGUUAAAAGGCCUUAAAUUUUUUUGUUCGCUUACAACCCUUAAAUUGGUUGAAUCGUUCCCGACCAAAAAUAAAAAAAAUUACUAUAUGCAUGUAUAUAACGUAUAUAAUAAAUCAAAAAACAAAGAAUAAAGAUUGUUGUACAUGUACUAAUUUGAGUUUAGUUUCUUAGGUUGAACGGUGUGGUAAGGGCUUUACCGUUGGUAUGCCUAUGUGACACAUUUCACCGGCGACAAACACCACCCCUCACCUAUAAUUUUAUCGGCAGUAUACUGCAGGCGAUAUGUUUCUACAAUCGGUAAAAAUAUUAUUAUGUUUUUCUCUCUCUACUCCCUCUUUUUUACUUAGUGGACACCAUCAACACCACCCCUAAUCAUUUUUAAAAAUGGCAAAAUUUAUAAAGAUGUCACUUCGUCAUGUUUUACCUCGGGUAUGAUUAGGGGUGUUCGUUUGGAUGGAUGCGUUCGAUCCGAUCCAAUUAAGUAAAUCCAAAUGGAUUUUGGUUUUCAAAAUAUGGAUCCAAAUAGUCCAAACUAAAUUCAAAUCUGAUCCGAUCCGAUCCAAUUACAAUUCGGUUAGAUCGGUUUUAUAAUUCAGUUUUCAAAAACCAUAACAUUUUAAAAGGACAUAGAAUUAUAAUAUGACCUAAUUUUACCGAAGAAGCAAAAACAAAUUAUUUACUUGUGAUUUAAAAUUUAUAAACAACCACUACGAAGACAUAUUAUAGUUUAUUAUUUAAUAGAUAAAAAAACUUUUGAUAAAAAGUACAUAUUAAUGUUUUUUAUAAGGUAAAACCUUUUGAAUUUAUUUAAAAAAAAUUAUAAAAUUAAUAAAUAAUUAUAGAUAUAUUGAAAAUAAAAACAUAACAAAUUGUUAUUCGGUUUUUUUGGACUAUUCGGUUCUUAUUUUAUAAACCAAAACCAAUCCAAAAUCCAAAAUAAUAAUUCGGUUUUGUUGAAAACCAAUCCAAAAAUCUGAAUAUCCGAACUAAAUAGUUAAAUCCAAAUUGUCCAAUUGGACAAUUCGAUUUUAUCCAAAUAGUGAACAGCCCUAGGUAUGAUACCUUUUAAGGGCAAUUUUCUAAGAAAAUUUGAUUUCUACUUAAUCUUUGAUAUAAACUACACAUUAUACAAAAUACUAGUUCAUUUUGAUGAUAGGUUCUAUUAAAUUUACGAUCAUUGUUUUUAAAUAAAUAAUCCUGACUAGGAUUUCCAUCUUAACAACAUUGCAAUAAUUGGUUUGUUAAACGUUAUAUAAAUUUAUGUAUUAAAAACCACACAAACAGUAUACAAAAAAAUAUCCAAACACUACGAAAUCAAUUAUUUAAAUCAUAGUUAUCCGAUAACUAAUUUCAGAUCAUCCACAAACCAUGUUUUUCCAAAAAAGAUUACUUUAAUGGAAAAAGAUACCAUAUUCAAUUGAACAAAAAGAUGCUUUGUUUGAGCAGGAAGUUUGAAAAACAGAAAACCCUAAAGCGUGGAGAAGAUGAUGAUGUUUCCCUUCUUUCCUGCUUUAUGGACGGCUGUCAUUUCUCACUUUUUCGUAGACCCAUCGUCAAGCUUUUCACUCGAUACCUUCACCUUCUCCUAUAAGAAAACCCAAAUCAAUCGCUUUACAUUCAUCCACACCAGCGAUAACCCAGAAGAACUUGUGGAGAUCAAAUGGCGCCUACUACCUUCGAUUACGGAUCAAUUCAAAGCUCAUCGCAGAGAAGAGGAGUGGCGAUGGUUUUAGCCAUGGUUACCGCCGUGAUGCUUUCGCCGUUGUACGUGAAUGGUCGACAGAAAGAAAGUCACUUGGAGACGAGAUUAUGGAGCUCUGGAUUUGUUCUGCCGAUGGUUCUUGCAGGGUUGAUUGUCGCCAUUAAAACAACUUCAUCUUCUUCUUCGUCAUCAAGUGAUGCAUUGUGUGAAGAUGAUACGUCGUCGUCAUGGAUGCUAAGAGUUGGGAGUUCGUCAUGGGGAUUAGCUGGGGUUCUUGGGAUGUUCUUGUUUGUGGUGUAUUGGCACGACACUGUUCAACAUUUAUUCUGGAGAUAAGAAUAGAUUGAACUCUAGUGUUUUAUCUUCCGAUUGUAAGAUUCGUUUUAGAACGAUUUCAGAUAGACUGCGGAACCUCGUAGCUUAUAUAUACAUUAUACAACUACAAGUCAUAAUUUCGACGCAUUUAAUUAUAUUCUUAUCAUCGUAUUAACAAAAUUCUAGACCUAUGAUACUACUACGUAUUGCUAGAUUAACUAUUACCAGAAAUUUAUGUUAGUAGUAGCACCAAAAUACCAAAUUUAUUUUUUGGCUUUUUUGAAAUUUAUAGGAAUAAACUUUUAGUUGUUUUGAAUUUUAUAGCAACCUAGUUUCAGUUUUUCAGCCAUUCAUAAUCAAUAUACCAUGCUUAUUUUUUAUCCAUAUAAAAAGGUAAAGAAGUAAAUUAUAUGUAGAUGUAUGAAGAAAAAGGUUAUUCUAGUUAAUGUCACCUAUAUAGAAGAACUAUUUCUCAAAUGUCGACUCAAAACCCAGCUAUUGUUUAAAUUCAAAAACGAUUUUUUUGGGGGAAAUCUUAGAUAGUAGUUGGCGUUCUUUUGAUAUUUGCCCCAUGCUUUAAGGUAAUAACAACGUUCUUUUUUCACUUUAUUAACUCAUUAUUCUUGAUUUUACUUGUCUCCAAGUAGCAUACGAUCCACAAGUACAAAGUAUCCAUAUAUAAUUAUAAGAAUACAAGAUGACUUUAUUGGAAUAUGCAACAAACUGUAUUAACUAAUUAGAAUAAAAGGAAAAAAUGAGAAAUUUUUUAAUAUGCGACUUAAUGGUUAUGUGGGAAAAAUAGGUUUCACUGGUUCAAAUAUUUGAGCGCGAUUAUGAAGAUCAAUGCCACAAGAAUAGAAAAUGAAAUAUAACCUGUUCGUAUGACAUUGAUCUUCAUAAUUGCGCAUCCAUUAUUAUACCAAAAAUAUUAUACUAAAACAAUAAGCCUUUACAAAAUCUACCCUAAUAAAUGAAAAUGACUUUGCCACAUGUCCUCUUCUCAUUCAUUUGGACACAUGACAUUUUCUAAAAAUUUUAAAAUUUUCUAUUUUCCACUUGUCAUUUUAUUGUAUUUUUGAUUUUAUUAAAUUAAAAUCCACAUUUAAUAUAUAAGGUAAUAUAUAUGUAAGGUAUUUAUUAGAAAAUGGUUUAUAUAGGUAAUGUAUCUAAUGCAUUAAAGUCUCAUUAAUUUUAAUAAUUCAAAAAAUUUCUUAUUUUUCUUAUAAAUUUAAAGUUUUCAAAUUGUUAAAAUUUUAUAUUUAAUUUUUUUUAAAUAAACUCAUGUAAUACAUGGGUCUCACACCUAGUCAUUAUAAUAGUUAUUCAGCCACAUCAGUAUUGUAUAAGUAUGGCCUAUUGGCCUUAAUCUGUAUAACCAGGCAUUGAUAAUUUUCUUUUUUUAUCUCAAAGCUCUCUGUUUGAUCUAGUUCCCUAGGCUCUAUUCGUAUCAACAUUUUCAUCAUUUAAAGAAACAAAGAAUAUCAUCAAACACCUUAUGUGCAUAAGAUUUGACAUAGAAGCUUCUUCAUAUAACUAGUUCUUGAAGAAUGAUUUGAAAUCAAUACAAAAUGUGUAUCAAAUGAAAAAAGUAGACUGAAAUUUAUAUAAAUUGAAGACCCCGUGUGGUAUGUUUCCUCACUUUUCUUUCUUUUCUUGUUCCCUCGUUUUAUUCUCAUUCCCUCUAAAUUCUUCACAAAGCGAACAAUUUCCUCUCAAAGCCCUAAAUAACCGUCAAGUCUCUCCUCCGCCCCGGAAAUCGCCUUCACCAUAGUCAAUCUGCAUCGCUCCUCUUUGAAGCCUCUGAAAGGAAAACCUAAUCAGAAAUCACAUCCUUGUUGGCUUUCCUCUUGGUCUGUCUCCCUUCCUUGUUGACUCGCCACUUAAUUCCUAUCUAACGCCUUUCGAUCUAUUGGUUCAUCAUAUACUGUUGAUUUAGAUCGUACAACUACUCAGCAGUAACAGCGGCGUCGAUCACCAGCGGUGUCGAUCACCUGAUAGGGUAGCAGCGGCGGUUCUGUUGAUGGUCUGAAACACUUUGAAAACUUUUAGUAGUUACAAAAUUUACUAAAACAAAAACGCACAACAAAAGCAAGAAAUCGAAAACGCACAACGAAAGCAAGAACGGUGGGUA
Molecule: long non-coding RNA, 59698 nt
Filed under: Lactuca sativa (garden lettuce)
Lineage: Eukaryota; Viridiplantae; Streptophyta; Magnoliopsida; Asterales; Asteraceae
Description: long non-coding RNA (LSAT_LNC003875)
Source: RNAcentral